RNAcentral lists this long non-coding RNA (49675 nucleotides) under Citrus maxima (pomelo). RNAcentral's name for it is "long non-coding RNA (CMAX_LNC002244)". Lineage: Eukaryota; Viridiplantae; Streptophyta; Magnoliopsida; Sapindales; Rutaceae. The record is from RNAcentral.
UUGGAAGUUUACUCAAUGGAAUUAAAAACCCUUUCCGAGAACCUAAUAUCGAAAAUGGGAGAAGUGUUAAAUAUCAAAGAUGAAGAAAUGAGAGAAUUCUUUGAAAAUGGAGUGCAAGCAAUGAGGAUGAAUUAUUACCCUCCAUGUCCUCAGCCCGAGAAGGUUAUGGGCCUGUCGCCUCAUUCUGAUGCAGCUGCACUUGCCAUUCUGCGACAACUUAAUGAAGUGGAGGGUCUCCAGAUAAAGAAGGAUGGAAAGUGGAUUCCUGUUACCCCACUCCCGGAUGCUUUCAUUGUCAACAUUGGAGACACAUUGGAGGCAAUAAUUAUAAUAAAUUACCUUAACCUGGCAUUUUUAUGCGCUUGCUUAUGUGCUUUAAUAAUUUUUGCAUGGCAGAUUAUAACCAAUGGGACAUACCCUAGCAUUGAGCAUCGUGCAGUUGUAAACUCUGUACAGGAAAGACUUUCCGUUGCCACAGCUUACUCACUGAGAUAUGAUGGUGAAGUGUAUCCUGCCCCCAGUUUGAUCUCUGAAAAAACUCCUCCUUUGUUUAGAAGAGUGAGAAUUGAAGAAUACUUUAGGAGCCGGUAUGCUCGUGAGCUUAGGGGAAAAUCUCAGCUGGAUUCCCUGAGAAUUCAACAUAGUCAAGGCUAGUAUAAGUUUAAUUCGGAUAACUAAAGAGUUUGGUACAAAAACUCUGAAGCAGCUCGCUAUUAAGAUUGUGCGUGGAACUGAAAAUAAGAAAUAAGUUCUAUGAAUACUGUGGAAUAACCUGCUAUGCUAGGGUCGAUCUGUUUCUAAUAGCUCUAUCAUUUGAUAUACUGAAAAGACCAUGUAAUAAUCUUAAGAAUUGCAGACUUAUGCCUGGAAUCUUCCGAUGAUAUAUAGGGGUGCUUAUAUCAGAUCAGUAUCUUUCUUUCUUGAAGUAGAAUUUUUGCAUACCUGACUUGUUUUUAAUGAGAUUUCAAGGACUAUAUGACUUGGUUUCCAAAUUUUUAUGAUACAUACAGAUAAUAUUACCACAGAACCAGUGUAGUUUCUGUAUGAGCCGUUAUAGAUUUCAGUUAAUAGUAACAAGUUUUUGAUUAUUAACAACAAUGUUGUCCUUCCACGUCUUAAAUAUUCCAUUCCAUAACACACAUUGUGACGAAUACAUAACUUGUUACCACUAACGAAAAUUUUUGCCAUCAAUAGCUGAAAAUAGCUGUUAGUUACACAAGCUGCAAAGCUAUAACUUUGGAUUUCAUAUUCAGAUUCUCUCUCAAAGUUGAACUUGGAACUACGGUUGAUGAUCUGCUAUUAUGCUGAGAAAACUACAAGAUUUUGAUUGGUUGUCAUCAGACAAUGUAAAAGAAAUUAGCAUGGUAUCCAAAUUCUUAAGAGUUUGAGAAGACAAUGCACUAUCUUUUUUAUAAUUCGCAGCAGACAGCAAUACAACAGCAGACUGCAACUGUCAUAUUCACAAAAUAUCUAUGGGCCAACCCUAGACCCGCAAUGGUGGAUUAGUCUCGCACAAGGCCACAGCAAAUAAUGACUUGUUGAAAAUAAUACAUUUUCAACAUUUGCUUUGUCAAUAAAACUCUGGAGCAUUAUUGUUGAGAGAAUUUGUGGAACAAAAAGAAGGCCAAGUUCGGAGGUUCUCUGCCUGUGCCUUGUGUUCAAGAGUUGGCCAAUAAUUCUAUGUUAGCUAUCCCUCCCAGAUACAUACGACCAGGCCAAGAUUUAACCACAAUUUCUGAUAAUAAUUUGGAUUCACGGCUAUUGCAGAGCUUGUUUUCUGAAGAGUCAACGGAUUCUGAGUUGUCCAGGCUCCACUUCGCUUGCAAAGAAUGGGCUUCUUUCCAGGUAAACUCCUUUGCCAAGUUAUUAUUAUUUUGCUUUUAAAGGAUUUGCUUGGGAUGAGACCUCAUCUACUAAAUACCACCCUUUGUCCCAUAUUGUUACUCGAGAGCAGAUAUCUGCAAAUUGCGAAUUACAUUCACAACCAGCUAAGCUACACCUGCCGUGAGGCACCCAAGUUUGUAUUUUUUUCCUUUGGACAUGCUUGGUUUAUUAAUAGUAGUCUGGCGUCAAGAAUUAAGAAAUCUGUAUACUCUCAAUCAAAGAGCACAGUCGAUCAAAUUCAGAUUAGAUUGUGUUUCAUUCUUAUAGGUCAAGUAGGCCACAAAUUUGGCCUACUCUGUAUCAAUGCUUUCUUACUCUGUAAGUUAGCAAUAAGAAAGCUCUAACAAAAUUUGAGUCUAGAUAGUCUUAACCAAGCCGGUUUAAGCACCCUUUUUUUUUAAAAAAAAAAAAAUUGUGGGAUGUAACUGACCUUGUCCGAUUAUGGACCACCUAACUUGCUUUCUUGUAUAGCUGAGAAGACAAACCUGCAUUCUUGAAAAUUAAAUUGUCUUUAAUAUCUUUCGGAUGUCUAGGCUUACGGUAGCUUGCGAAGAACUAUAAGCAAAUUUAUGAUGUAGUAUAAUGCAAAUGCGAUUCUAUUAGUUUAUUGAAAUCUAACAAAUAUGGAAGGAUUUGGACAAGCAUUUGUUAUAUCCGAGGAACAAAAGGUUGAUUGGAUUGACAUUUUCUUCAUGACAACUCUUCCAAUUCAUCUGAGGAAACCCCACUUGUUUCCUAAGCUCCCUCUUUACCCCUUAGAUUUCUCUCUCUCUCGUCAGUUAUUUGAUGGUUGCAAAUGUAUUAGGUUCAGAGAAAGAUCCCAAGUCAGUUAUAUUUAGUAAAAUUUGACAAUCAAACAUGAUUUUGAAAGAAUACUGUUAAAUAAUAACUUACUUAACAAUCCACCACAAUCAUAUACUAAACCUUCUAAUUGCGUCUUCUUUUUUCUUAUAGGAAAUCUUGGAAUUUAUUCAGCGGAGUUAAAAAUCUCUGGCCAUGAACGUGGUAUCGAAAAUGGGAAAAGUUCUAAAUAUCAAAGAUGAAGAAUUGAGAGAAUACUUUGAAAAUGGUUUCCAAUCAAUGGGGAUGAACUAUUACCCUCCAUGUCCUCAGCCGGAGAAGGUUGUGGGCCUCACAACUAAUUCUGAUGACUCUGUUCUUACCAUGCUGCUGGAAAUCAAUGAAGUAGAAGGUCUCCAGAUCAAGAAGGAUGGAAAGUGGAUUCCUGUUACACCUGUCCCAAAUGCUUUCGUUGUCAACAUUGGAGUCGUGUUGGAGGUGAUAAGUUAUUUUAACUUGACAUUCAUAUGAGCUAGCUAAUGUGUGCUUUCAUUAAUUCCCGUUGCUCCACUCCCUAAUGCUUUCAUUGUCGACAUUGGAGACACACUGGAGGUAAUAAUUAUAGUAAAUUACUUAACUUGGCAUUUAUAUGAGCCUGCUCAUGUGCUUUAAUAAUUUUUACAUGGCAGAUUGUAACCAAUGGGACAUACCGUAGCAUUGAGCAUCGUGUAAUUGUAAACUCUAUACAAGGAAGGCUUUCCAUUAGCACAGUUUACUUAGUGAUAUAUGAUGGUGAAAUGUACCCUACGUCCAAUUUGGUCUCUGAAAAUAAUCCUCUAUUGUUUAAAAGAGUGACAGUUGAAGAAUACUUUAGGAACCUGUGUGCUCGUAAGCUUAGGGGAAAAUCUCCUCUGGAUGCCUUGAGAAUUGAACAUGUUCAAGACUAGUAUAAGUUUAUUUUGGAUAACUAAAGAGUGUAGUACAAAAACCGUGGGGGACCUUGCUAUUGCAAUUUUGUGUGGAGCUAAAAAUAAGCAAUAAGUAUACGAAUAAUAAAUCCUUUGGUGAAAAUUAUCACCUAAAUUUAGGAAUAUACACGUUCUAUCACCAAAAAUCAAUAACAGAAUAUACGACAGCAUACCUAAGAUCAUAAUGCACAAUUUGUCUCUAGAGUCUAGUAGUUUGUCUUCCAAAUUAACAUGUUCUCCUAGAGAAUCCUUUAAAAUUCUCUGUGCACUCUCUCUAAUGAUGAGAUGUCAACAGAGAAUAGAACGAUACGUGUGACCUAGGGACAAUAACUACUUAUAUAAACAAAUUUUUCUUUUGUCUUUAUGUAUUCUUAUUCCAACCCAUCAUGGAAAUAGAAAAUAGUCUUAAGUCUCUGUACAUUAAAGGCCUACAAUUGAUUAGAUACAUUAAAGCCCAAAUUAUCGAAAACUUUAAUAGAUCAUUUUUAAUUUGCCUUAAACUUAUAUAAUAGUUCACAACAUAUAAUUAUUCACAUAUAAGCCCAACAUUGGAUCAAUGAUCUAACAAUGCUAGAUUAAAGAUCCAACAACCUUUCACUUGGGCUAUAUAUGUAACCUUAUAAUUAUACUUUGCAAAAAUAACCAUAUGAGCUCAAUUUUACUGUCAUUACUAAAAUGUAUCUAUAGUCAAUUCGGUCCAUCAAUCAUACCAACAAAGGAUCAAAACGACCUUUGUUACAACUAUCGUAACUUGACCCAUCAAUGCGCACUAUGCCAAUAUAGCUGAAUGACAUAGAUCAUGAUAUGGGCGUGUAGGAUGGAAAUUUCAUGUAAUGUGAUCUUAACAUGCCUAUUUCCAAUUGAUCCACCUUAAACUUUAGUGAGAUCAAAUUAUAUAAAAAUUAGAGUGUGAAUGAAUAAACCAAAACUUUAUUUCUGCAGAAAAUAACCUUAAAUAUCCCUAAACCGAAAAAUGUUUAUAUCAUAAGAACAUUUAAAAGUUACAAAAUCCCAUUAAAAAUGAAUAUCCUUUAAUGACACGACACCUAUAUGAACAGUGUGCCUACGAAAAAUUUUAGAUGGUAUUCCCUUAGUAAGCGGAUCCGUGAUCAUGGAUUUUGUACCAUUAUGCUUUAUAGACAAUUUUCCACUCUAAAUUCUUUAUUUAACAACUAGGAACUUGAUGUUUAUAUACUGUGACUUCGUCGAGCUCCUAUUGUUAUUGGAAUAUAGCACUGCUAACUUAUUGUCACAUAAUAACUUGAGUGGUCUAUCAAUACCAUCUAAAAUGUGUAACUCUGUGACGUAAUUCCUCAGCCAUAUUCUGUGAUUGGAUGUCUCGUUACAUGCUAUGAACUUUGCUAUUAUAGUAGAAGAGGCUAUAAGAGACUGCUCAACAGAUGUGGCUCGCUCUAAAAGAUAAGUUCAGUGGCACUUCGACUACUAAAUUGAGAAGGCUGAUGAUCAAGUUUGAUUCUUAUUGGAAUUGCCAAAAUCAUAUUAUGAGGCAGCAUCUAAGGGAGAUGUCAAACAUGAUUUGCGAACUUAAGGCUGCUGAACAUAUUUUGACUGAUGAACAAUAAGUCCAGGAAGUAAUAAGAUCUUUACUUGAUUCUUGGGUGCACAUGAUGGUGAAUAUGACUCACAAUGAAAGUAUUAGAACUUUCAAUGACAUAGAACAUCACCUAGAAUUAGAAGUAAAACGCCUUGAGGCAACUAAGCUUUUUGAUCGUGUUUAUUUGACCGAAUCAAAUUCGCACAAAGCUUCAAGCUUCAAGUGCAAAAGGGUCAUAAUUAUAACCAGAAUGGUGAGAAAUCUGAUCCUAAGAAGAGGAAUUUAGAUGCUAAGAAGCGCCCAAGGGGUAGACGCACUGACAAGAACAAUGACAAAUCUAAGAUGAAAUACUAUAAUUGUAGUGAGCCGGGUCACUUUGCUCGCGAGUGCACUGAGCCCAACUCCACUUUAUUAAAUUUUGUGUUAGUUAUGAGUUAUGUACUCCUAAUUGAUUCUCGUCCUAUGUAGACUGUAGACUCAGGAUCAACAGACUAUAUAGCUCGUGAUCAAAAUGCGUUUGUAGAGUAUCAUCAAAUUAGUCAAGGGACUAGAUGGAUAUACAUGGGCAACAACUCCAGAGUUGAAGCAAAAGAAAUAGACACCUACAAAUUGACUUUGCAUGGUGGAUGUAUUCUUUUAUUACACGAUGUCCUAUAUGCACUAGAGAUUCGACAAAACUUAGUUUCUGUUCCCAUUCUUCUUGAAUUAGGAUAUAAUUUAAACUUUUAUGAUUUUUUUUUGGAGAUUUUCUUAAAUUUAGUCCUUAUUAGAACUGACAUUUCGUUAAUGGUUUUAUUAUAUUAGAUACAAUACUUGAUAAUUCAAGUUAUGAUAAUAAUUGUUUUUCAUAUGCUACUUCUUUAAGUAAUAAUAAGAUAGAUGUUAUUACUUGGCAUGCUUGAUUAGGUCACAUAGGGCAAAAAAGAAUGAAUAGACUUACGAGAAAGGGCAUAUUGAGUUUACUUACCAAGGUUGAAUUGCCCAUAUGUGAGAAUUGUUUAGCUGAAAAAACAAUUAGAAAACCAUUUGACAAAGGAAUUAGAGUUGAAAAAUCAUUACAAUUAAUCCAUUCUGACAUCUGUGAUACAAUGAAUGUAAGGGCUAAACAUGGAGCCUCAUAUUUUAUAACAUUCAUUGAUGAUUAUUCAAGUUUCGGUCAUGUCUACUUGAUUUCUUAUAAAUCAGAAGCAUUGAAUUGCUUUAGAUUAUAUCUAAACAUGGUAGAGAAUCAACUAGAUAGUAAUGUUAAAGUUCUAAGGACUGACUGAUGACAUGAAUACCUUUCAAAGUAGUUCAAGGACUUGUGUAAUGAGAAAUGAAUAAAUAGACAACUGACUAUUUUUGGAACUCUGUAACAAAAUGGCAUGGCGGAAAGAAGGAAUAUAAUUUUUUUAGAAAUGGUUAGGUCAAUAAUGGCACACUCAAAUAUUCCAAUAUCAUAUUAGGGAGAUGCAUUGUUAACUACUGCCUAUAUAUUUAACCUAGUUCCUUCAAAAUCAGUUAGUUAUUCUCAUAUGAGUUAUAGACGGCUAAGAAACCUGACCUAUUUCAUUUGUGACCUUGGAGGUCUGUAGCUUAUGUUUAUAACUCCAUUCAUAAGUUUGGGAAAUUAGGAGAUAGAAGCAAAAAGCGUAUCUUUAUUAGAUACUCAGAACACUCCAAACGAUAUGUGUUCAUUGGUGAACAUGAAAGUGGAUUUUUAACUGAACUGGAAUCAUAGGAUGUUGAUGACUCUAUGAAAUGAAGUUAUCAUUAUAUUUCUAGACUUAAAUCAAGAUUUCUUAAAGAGUAAAUAAUGUCUUUCUAUUACUUUUUAAUGAUAUUUUGCAUUAACAUCCGUUUUAGUUUAAUUCUAGUAAAUUUUGUUUGGUUUCGAAUAAUCGUGUGCUUAAAUCAUAUACGCAAGUGUGGGUAAUUGGAAGUUUGAAUUUCAAGGACAAGAUGUUGUUGCAAUGAGCUUGCAAAAUGAAUGAAAGAACAUGGCUGUAGAAGAAUUAAAACAAGUCUGGAACAAUGCAGAUGUUGCAGACAUUGUUGUAGCAAUGUUAGAGCAUUGAUAGAGAAGAUUUCAUGUGAGGCACUUAAAAGAUUGAGAUAUGGAGUUUUCAAAUCUGGCAGAUACACACCCUAGACUUUCAGUUGCCCUAAGUUUUAUCUAUAAAAAGAGCACACAUGCAAAGGAAGAGAGAGGCCGUCAACCAAGAACAAAAACCGAAAAGAAAUAAAAGAAAAACAUAAUUCAAGAGCAAAAUUAAGGGCUGCAUCAUAGGAGAAUUUGUAGAAAUCAUUCAGGAACUUAGUCUUUCUUAGUCUUCUCUUGUUUUCUUGUUUAUUCUUUAAUCAUGAGGAUGCAUUUGCUGACCAAAACUCCAUUGUUCAUGUUUCUUUUACAUAUUAUAAACUAAAUUUAUUUGUGGUUGAGUGAUAAAUAAUCUUGAUGGUCCAUUGACUAUAUAAAUGUGUUGUUGUAUGCUUGCUAUAGCAUUUUAUUUUGAUGAUAUUUAUUUAUAUUCAUUAUUUCGGUUGACCACCCAUUUAAUGAUACAAGCUAAGAAAGAGCUACAAAAGGACUUAUCUUAAUGUAACAUAUCCGAGUAAUACUUGGUUUUAGAUUGGGUUUCUUGAGUUGAGUUUUACUUGAUUCCAAAAGGGCCAUGCCUAAUAUAAAAUUCGUGAUGAAUUAGACAUACGAAUUCACAUUGUAGGAUAAAUAGAACCUAAAUGUGUAAUGUUAUAUCUUAUGUUGGCAUAACAAUUGGUCACUAUUAGAUUGCAUAAGGAUAUAAGACAUCCAACAUGCGACAGUUGAGGAUACAAUAUGAUUUUGCCUAGUGCUGUAUCAAACGUUGUAGCAACCGAGCCAAAGAUUAGAAGAAACAGUCAAAACCAUUAAGAGAGUUUAAUCACUCAACUACUCCAUUCUCAUUGGCUUUAUUCUUAUGUUUGACAUGAGAAUUUUAUUUAUUGCCUUUUUAGUUAUUACAUUUUAUAGUUUAAUUAGUUAUUUAGUCUCAUUAAUUAUUUAGUCUAAAUUUAGAACACAAGCUGCACUGUUCAGGAUUAUUUUAGCAAUUCUGAUAACAUCAAUCCCUGUGGAGACGAUCUUGAAUAUUUAUCAUUAUAUUACUUAUUGUGUACACUUGCAUAUUGAUACUAAUAAUACAAGAAAAAUUGCAACAAAUGUCAGUUUUUUAGAAAAUGAAUUUUCUAGCAUUGAAGAAGUUGAUAAGGAUUUUCAAUUUUAUGAAUUAGAAGAUCCAAAUGGGGUUAUCACUUCUAAUGUCGAUAUUGGCAUUAGUACGAAUCCUCUGGGGAUUGUUACUCUGAGUGGGAGUGAAACACCGGACACUUCGAUUCGAAUUAAGGAAUCGACUUAGAAGAGUAGUCGUAAGUCAAUUCCUUGUCAUCAUUUUGAAAUUGAGGGAGAAGUUUUAUGAUUACUUCACACGAUAGUGAAGAGCCAAAUACUUUUAAUAAAGCUCUCACAUCGUCUACUAGGGAUUUAUAGAUGAAAGCAAUAGAAGAAGAGAUAAAAUCUAUGAAAGUUAAUCAAGUUUGGGACUUGCUUGAAUUUCUGCCUAAUCGUAAAAUUAUCAGAAAUAAAUGGGUUCUCCAUAUAAAAUGUAAAGUGGAUGGGACAAUCGAGAGAUACAAAAUAAGAUUAGUCGCUAAAGGCUAUACCCAAAAGGAGGGAAUAGACUAUAAAGAAACCUUUUCUCCUAUGGUAAGGUUUGCUUCUAUACGAUUAAUUUUGGUCAUUAUUGCACAUCUAGACCUUGAAUUGCAUCAGAUGGAUGUAAAUAUUGCAUUUCUCUAGAUAAUGAACUGAGAGGUAGGCAAAUUUGGUUUGGAUCAGUUUGAGACAAAUUAUCAAACCGAUCCAAACUGAUAUCGACCUAAAUUUUUUUUAAACCAAACCAACUAGAUUGGUUUUUUUCUUGGUUUGAGAUUAUUAGCUAAAAGCCCACCUCUUUUAUAUUGUUGUACCUAAAUUAUUUGUUAUUUUUUGUAUCCAUAAUCCAAAUUGAUAUCUCUUUUAUAUUAUUCAUAUCUACAUAACAAUUUAAAGAUACAUCCAUACAAGUUCACAACAGAAUACAUCCUAAUAAAGAAGUUCUCAACUUGUUCAUUCAAAACAAACUCACAAAAUUAAAAUAAACUUGAACAACAUUUGACAAUCAAAAUAUCGUGCAUCUUGUCCUUUAAAACUUAUGGCCCAAUUACUUUUGAUUUGUCAAAAUCUGCAUAAAAUGACAAAAUGAUAGAUUGCUUAACUUAGAAAAUAAUAUAAUUAUACUAUAUGUAAAGCAUAGGUACCUUGCUCCACAGACGUACAUAAUUCCAAAUCACUAAAGUAUGAUGACAAUACUUCUACAUCAAACUUCCUAAUAAUUUUUUCAUCCAUACCAGAUGCUUUAAGCCAUUGUUGACUAUAUAUCAAAGUCUCUACCAUUGUAGGGGUUAAUGAACUUCGAAAUGCAUAGACUACACGACCUCCAGUAUUAAAAACAGGUUCAGAAGCCACAGUAGAUACAGGAAUUGCUAACAUAUCCUUUGCAAUUUGUGACAAAGUCCCAAACCUUGCACUAUUUGCAAUCCACCAACUCAAAACAUCAAACUAAUCAUCAGUUUCAUCCUCACUAGGUUAGAACAAAUACCUUUCUACCUCAUUUUUCAAAUCAAUGGAAUCUUUCUGCACUUUUAACUGCUUAUAUUGAGUCUUUGUAUUAAUAAAUGCAUAGUCCUUGCCACUUUUCCUUCUUAAACCCACAUCAAUUGCCAAAACAUCAUUAGUAGAUUGGCUACCAUCACCAGAAGUAGAUUCUACAAGACAAUAGGUUUUACAUAGCUAUGAACAUAAAUUUAAGUAAAUAUGAAUACAGUUACAAAAAAAAAGAAAAAAGUAACUAUUGUUAUAACUGAAUCUAAUUUGAAAGUUUAAGAAUACACCUUUAAAAGUAGCUUCUUAAUGUUUGAUGUAAUUUCUUUCGCUUUCUCAAGAUUAUGCAAAUUUUCAAAGCAAAAUGACACAUAAUCAAAUUUGUACCUUAGAUAUGAAAUGAAUUAGAGUAAAUAAUUAUCACAAUUGAUUUUAUCAUAAAAAAUAAAAAUUCAAAUGAAAUAACAGAUUUUUACCUUGGAUCAAGUACCACAGCAAUGAUCAAUAGUUGAUGUAUAGUGUCCAUAGAACCCCAAUACUUGUCACACUUUAUUUUCAUUUUUUCUGCCCUUUUACUAAGAAGCACCUCUUUUUUUUUUCAAUGAAUGAAUGCAACUAGGUUUGAAUGGUGCAAAGAUGAUGAAAAUACAAGUUAGACAUGACAAAUAAUAAAGCACUGUAUUCAACUAUACCAUUAUUCACAAAUUUCAAAAACUCGAUAAAUAUUGCAGCAUUUUUCCAAUCUUCAGUUGUGGGUGGCCUGAUAUGUUCUGCUUUCCUCUCAUUGAAAAAACUCAUAUAUGGUCCAUCACAUUCCUCUUCUUUCAGACUUUCAAAAGCUUUCUGAAAGUGUAUAGCUAUGGACAACAUAGUGUAGAUAUAAUUCCAUCUAGUGGGCACAUGAUAUGCUAAAAGCCCUUCAUAUUCAAUUUUCUCUCUCUCAACACAUGAUUUAAAUUUAUAAUGAUAACUCUAUGAAAUGAGAGUUAUCAUGGCACUUUGAGACUUAAAUCAUGAUUACUUAGAGAGUAAAUGACAUGUUUUUAUUGCAUUUUAGUAAUGUUUUGAAUAAACAUUCCAUUUUAGUUUACUUUUAAUAAGUUUUGUUUGAUUCAGAAUAAAUUGUAUGCUUAAAUCAUAUGCAUAAUUGUAAGUGACCGGAAGCUCAAAUUUCAAGAAAGGAAUACGGCUGCAAUAGGCUUGUAAAGAUAAGGAAAGAACGUAAUUAGAGAAGAAUUGAAACAAGUCUGGAACAGUGUAGAUGCUGAAGCCAUUGUUGUAGCACUGUUGUUGUAGCAUCGUUGUUAUAGAUUUUCUGGAGCAUUGACAGAGAAGAUUUUACGCGAGAUACUUUGAAGUUUGCGGUCUGGAGUUUUCUAAAUUAGAAGAUGCACAUUCUAGGCUUCCAGUUGCCCUAAUUUUAAGCUACAAAAUGAGCACACAUGCAAAGAAAAGGGAGCCGUCAUUGGAGAAGAAAAAUAGAUAAACAACACAAGAAAAAACAAAGAUCAAGAGAGAGAAUUGAGGGCUGCAACUAAGGAAUUCGAGAAGAACAUCAAGCGGAUCUCACUCUUAUUUUUUGUUCUCUUGUUUCUAUCUCGUUAUGAUGAAUUGUUUGAUGGCUGAAACUAUUUUACUUCUUGUUUUAUCCCAAAUUAUGAACUAAAUUUAUUUGUGGUUGAAUAAUGAACAAACUUGAUGGUUAAUUGACUAAUAUUCUGUGUUGCUACAUGUUUGCUAUAGCACGUUGUUUUGAUAAUACUUAUUUCAAUUUACUAUUUCAAUUUACUAUUUCGGUUGACCACCCAUUUAGUGAUACUAGUUAAGAAAGAACCUAAAAAAGACUUGUCUUAGUGGAACAUAUGAAAGCAAUACGUGGUUUUAGAUUGGGUUUCUUGAGUUGGGUUUAACUUGAUUUGAAAAGGGUCAUGCUUAAUAUAAAAUUAGUGAUGAACUAGAUAUAUGGAUUCACCUUGUAGUGUAAUUAGAAUCUAAAAUGUGUAAUGUUAUAUACGAUGUUAGCAUAACAAUUGGUCACUGUUAAGUUGCAUUUAGAUAUAAGUUAUCCAACAUGCGACAGCUGACAAUACAUAAGGAUUCUGCCCAGUGCUGUAGCAAAUGCUAUAGCAAUCGAGCCAACAUUAGAAAAAUAGUCAAAACCAUUAAGUGAGUUUAAUCGCUCAACUACUCCAUUCCCCUUGGGAACAUCCUUGUAUUUGCUGUGUUGCUACAUGUUUGCUAUAGCACGUUAUUUUGAUAAUACUUAUUUCAAUUUACUAUUUCGGUUGACCACCUAUUUAGUGAUACUAGUUAAGAAAGAACCUAAAAAAAACUUGUCUUAGUGGAACAUAUCAAAGCAAUACGUGGUUUUAGAUUGGGUUUCUUGAGUUGGGUUUAACUUGAUUUGAAAAGGGUCAUGCUUAAUAUAAAAUUAGUGAUGAACUAGAUAUAUGGAUUCACCUUGUAGGGUAAUUAGAAUCUAAAAUGUGUAAUGUUAUAUAUGAUGUUAGCAUAACAAUUGGUCACUGUUAAGUUGCAUUUAGAUAUAAGCUAUCCAACAUGCGACAGCUGACAAUACAUAAGGAUUCUGCCCAGUGCUGUAGCAAAUGCUAUAGCAAUCGAGCCAACAUUAGAAAAAUAGUUAAAACCAUUAAGUGAGUUUAAUCGCUCAACUACUCCAUUCCCCUUGGGAACAUCCUUGUAUUUGCUGUGUUGCUACAUGUUUGCUAUAGCACGUUGUUUUGAUAAUACUUAUUUCAAUUUACUAUUUCGGUUGACCACCCAUUUAGUGAUACUAGUUAAGAAAUAACCUAAAAAAGACUUGUCUUAGUGGAACAUAUCAAAGCAAUACGUGGUUUUAGAUUGGGUUUCUUGAGUUGGGUUUAACUUGAUUUGAAAAGGGUCAUGCUUAAUAUAAAAUUAGUGAUGAACUAGAUAUAUGGAUUCACCUUGUAGGGUAAUUAGAAUCUAAAAUGUGUAAUGUUAUAUAUGAUGUUAGCAUAACAAUUGGUCACUGUUAAGUUGCAUUUAGAUAUAAGCUAUCCAACAUGCGACAACUGACAAUACAUAAGGAUUCUGCCCAGUGCUGUAGCAAAUGCUAUAGCAAUCGAGCCAACAUUAGAAAAAUAGUCAAAACCAUUAAGUGAGUUUAAUCGCUCAACUACUCCAUUCCCCUUGGGAACAUCCUUGUAUUUGUUGUGUUGCUACAUGUUUGCUAUAGCACGUUGUUUUGAUAAUACUUAUUUCAAUUUACUAUUUCGGUUGACCACCCAUUUAGUGAUACUAGUUAAGAAAGAACCUAAAAAAGACUUGUCUUAGUGGAACAUAUCAAAGCAAUACAUGGUUUUAGAUUGGGUUUCUUGAGUUGGGUUUAACUUGAUUUGAAAAGGGUCAUGCUUAAUAUAAAAUUAGUGAUGAACUAGAUAUAUGGAUUCACCUUGUAGGAUAAUUAGAAUCUAAAAUGUGUAAUGUUAUAUAUGAUGUUAGCAUAACAAUUGGUCACUGUUAAGUUGCAUUUAGAUAUAAGCUAUCCAACAUGCGACAGCUGACAAUACAUAAGGAUUCUGCCCAGUGCUGUAGCAAAUGCUAUAGCAAUCGAGCCAACAUUAGAAAAAUAGUCAAAACCAUUAAGUGAGUUUAAUCGCUCAACUACUCCAUUCCCCUUGGGAACAUCCUUGUAUUUGUUGUGUUGCUACAUGUUUGCUAUAGCACGUUGUUUUGAUAAUACUUAUUUCAAUUUACUAUUUCGGUUGACCACCCAUUUAGUGAUACUAGUUAAGAAAGAACCUAAAAAAGACUUGUCUUAGUGGAACAUAUCAAAACAAUACGUGGUUUUAGAUUGGGUUUCUUGAGUUGGGUUUAACUUGAUUUGAAAAGGGUCAUGCUUAAUAUAAAAUUAGUGAUGAACUAGAUAUAUGGAUUCACCUUGUAGGGUAAUUAGAAUCUAAAAUGUGUAAUGUUAUAUAUGAUGUUAGCAUAACAAUUGGUCACUGUUAAGUUGCAUUUAGAUAUAAGCUAUCCAACAUGCGACAGCUGACAAUACAUAAGGAUUCUGCCCAGUGCUGUAGCAAAUGCUAUAGCAAUCGAGCCAACAUUAGAAAAAUAGUCAAAACCAUUAAGUGAGUUUAAUCGCUCAACUACUCCAUUCCCCUUGGGAACAUCCUUGUAUUUGCUGUGGUAUUUUACUUUAUUGCAUUUUUCUCAUUGCGUUUUUAUUUUUAUUAUUUCAUUAGUUUAAUAAUUUGUUUUAAUUCUUGUUUAUAAUAAAAAUUGCACUAAUAAAAUUGUUGUAGCAAUUCCUAUAACAACCUAUGGAGACAAUCUUGAAUAUUCAUCAUUAUAUUACUUAUUGUGUACACUUGCACAUUGACAUCAAUAGCAUUAGAAAACCUGCAACAUGCAACCUCAAACCAGAAGACCUCACAUAUAUAAUUGCAUUGCAAAUGCUAGUAAUUAAGUCAUGCAUCUCUUUCAGCCGUUCAGUCACAAUUAUAUUAACAAUAUGGGCACAACACCACAAAUGUGAAUAAUCUCCAUCUAAAGUCAUUGCAUCACCCUUCCAAUUUUUCAACUUUUUUUUUCAAAUAAUUGAUAGAAACGUCAUUAGCACUCACAUUAUCAACUAUAACAGUCAUCACUUUUUCUAUACCUCAAUCAAGUUAGCAUUUUUUAAUAAGGUUGCCGAUUAAGUCCCCUUUGUCGCUUGUUAUUUGGAAAAAAAAAUUCAAAAUUUUCAUAUGCAAUUUCCAAUUAUGAUCAACCCAAUGGGUUGUCACAACAUAUAAUUAAAAUUUUUUAUGGAAGUCCAAAUGUUUGUGGUAAUAGAAACUCUAUACUUAUUUGCAAUAAAAAUAUUUUUGAAUGCUGCAUUCUCAACUAAAUACAGUUGAUAUAUAUCUCUAACAAGUGUUCCCCUCGAAGGAGGGCCAAAUCUAGGAUAAAGUUUAUCUCACAAAAGAUGAAACCUAUAAGACUCUACCUUCCUAAAUGAAACCUUAUUAAGAAUAAAAUACAUAACUACAUUCUUCCUACAAUCCUCCUGAUCAAACUUUCCAGCAAUCCCCAACCCAAUACCAUACACAAUAUUCCCAGUGCCACUACCACUUGCCAUAUUAGACUUUUUUUUCUUAUCACGGAAGCGAGCUAAUUUAACUCGAGUCACAUAAUCCAAAGUAGCCCAAUAUUUUUCACAUUGUUCUCUUAAGUGAGUCCACAAAUUAAAAGUCUCAUUAAACUUACUAUCACACUUAUACUAGUUCCCACAAUAUUUGCACUUACAUGUCCUAUUCACUUAAUCUUUGAUUUAAUGAGGCCAAACUUUUGAACCCCUUUCACUGUCAUGAAGACGACCACUCCCUGUUCUAGAUUUCCUACUUUUAGGUUCUAGAAAAUCAUCCAUCAAUAUUUCUCCAUUUUCUAUGAUAUUAUUCACAUUGGAAUUAUCUUCCAUGUUGAGAGCUUCUAUAAUUAAUAAAAAUUAAAAAACAUUAGUUAUGGAAUCAAUUAAUCAAAUAAAUUAUCAUCAAUUAUACCAAAAUCCAUUUUAACUUUUGACUAAAAUAAAAUAAAAUUGUAGCAAGUAAAAUAAAAUCAAAACAUGCCAUUUUGUUCCCAUUUUUAAAAUUAUGACUAUGAGACUUGAGAAUGAGCGAUUGAGAUUGAGAGAGUUGAGAAUGAUAGGAGGCACUGGAGGUUGAGGCAGCUGUGAGUGUUGGACAAUUAGGUUUUUGUGUUUUUGUUUUUAUAAUAAGAAGUAUGCUAUUGUGUAUGAAAGUGUACAUUUCUUCUGUUAAUAAUCCAAUAAUAAAUUGACACAUCAUAUGUCUUAAAGCUUUAUAAAUUUUCUAGAUUGGAUUGGUUUGCCGAAAUCCAAAUCGAGUGAUGUCGGUUUGCAAUCCAAUAAAUCAAAACUAGUUUUUUUACUAAUGAAACCGAUCCAAAUGGUCGGUUUGGAUAGGUUCAGUUAAAAUAUGCCCACUUGUAAUAGAACCUUAAAUUCUAUCAAGCUAUAGUUUCUUAGCUUUAGGAUGGUUAAGGAAGACCAUUGUGUGUACAUUAAGAGAUAUAAAGACGCUUUUACAAUAUUGACUUUGUAUAUGGAUGAUAAAUUAUUGGCAGCAAAUAGUAAAGAGUUUGUCAAAAUUAUUAAAGAUUGGCUACAUUCAAAUUUUGACAAGAAAGAUAUCGGCGAAGCAACUUAUAUCUUAGGGGUCAAAAUUUUUAAGGAUCGUUCAAGGAAAUUUAUGGCUCUGUCACAAGAGUCUUACAUUAAGAAAAUCAUUGAAAGAUUCAAUGUGGCUGAUUGUAAGCACAAGGAUACCCCUAUAGCUAAAGGACAAUCUUUUAGUCUCGAUAUGUGUCCCAAGACUCCUCAAGAAAAAGAAAGAAUGACUAGAGUUCCUUUUGCAAAUGCCAUUGGAAGUCUUAAGUGUGUCAUAAUGUGUAUAAUGCCUGAUAUUAGUUAUGUUGUAGGACUAGUAAGUAGAUACCAGUCUAAUCCUGGUCAGAGGCAUUGGAGUACUGUUAAAAGGAUUUUAGCAUAUCUCAAAUGCACUGCAAAUUAUUGUUUAUGCUAUCAAGGAGGUGGUUUGCGGCUUGUUGGAUAUUCAGAAGCCGACUAGGGUGGUGAUCUGGAUUAGCGCAAAUCGGCUUCAAGAUAUGUAUUCUUGCUAAAUAGAGGAACAAUUACAUGGAGUAGCAAGAAGCAAACAUGCACGACUUUAUCAAUGGUGGAAGCCGAAUAUAUUGCAUGUUCUGCAGUAGUGCAAAAAGUUAUGUGACUUAAGAGAUUUAUAGAGAACUUAGAGAUUAAUAUUAGUAAUGAUAAUCUAGUGACUAUCUAUUGUGACAAUCAAGCUACUAUCCCUUUCUCUAAUGAUGCUAAAUACCAUACCAAAUCGAAACACAUUGAGUUAAAUACAAUUUUGUAAGAGAUAUUUUGGCAAAGAAAGAAGUAGUCAGCCGUACAAUAUAUAUCUACACAGAGCAUGAUAACUGAUCCACUUACCAAAGCUGUAAUAAGGGAUGUAUUCGCCUAUCAUGCUAAAUCAUUAGGGCUACGUAGAUUAUAAAUUACUACUAUUAAGAUGUACUUAUUUGUUAUAAACAUCUUCAUUACAUAAGUUGUUUGAAAAUGUAAUAGUAUCUCUUAUUUCAAUUUAUUCCAUGAAAGACAUAAUUACACAUAUAUAAGAGUAUGUCGUCAGGUCCAGACUAGUAUUUUUACACAAGCGGUCACCUCAAUUGCUUUAGGAGCAAGAUGAGAUGAGACAAGUAGAAUAAUAAAACAAUAUUUUUGUGUGAGAGCCAAAUAAAAAGCAUUAUUCUACAAGUUUUUUUGCCUUGACUAGAAUCAAGAGGUCUCACACGAUUUUCAUUAUAGACUGACUAUGAUAUACCCCACCAUCAUGGAGACUUGAUUGAAGCUAGAUGUGAGAUCUUACUUUUUACGCUAGAAGACAGCGUUCAUUCUAAAAGAGUGACUAGACUAAGAUCUAUAGUCCUGGAAUGGAAAAUUUAUCGUAACACGUGUAUCAUACCACGCGUGCUUGGUAAUCAAAAUGGAAAAUGAAAGAAUCUUCAAUCUUUCUCAUUGUGUAAGUUUCAUAUAACUUUUUAUAAGUCAAUCCUGGUAUCAUCUUCUUCUCUUCUUCGUGAAGAUUAAAAUUAAGAACAUUGAACAAUCCAUAAAAAGGGCAUUUAUACUGUGAUCAGAUAAGGAUUUCCGCUUGCGAUUUCUUCUGACCAUUAACAUGAUCCAAUACUCGAUUACUCCGCUGCUGAAUUCAAUAAGAAAAAUAUUUCUAGAAUUUUCAUUUUUCCUUCAGACCAUGUAAGAAGCAUACGAACAGGAUGAUCCGGAGUCAAAAGGUGAACGAGGUGACGGCUCGUCCGUUAGUACUAUUAAUGUAUAAGGUAAUAUGGGAAUUACUAAUAAUUAAUCGACUAGCUGAUUUGUUAGUUAUGAUUAUCAAUGACGGUCUAUUUCCUGCCCAUAUUUUACCAUGCUGUUGAAUGGUCCCCUUAAAAUAAUCCAGAUCAGUCAUUUGCAUAAAAAUAUAUCAUGAGCGGUUAGGUGGAGGAUGCUGAUUUGUUAGAAAAUAAUUGUUUUCAACUCUUGCGAUUGUCUGCACCCUGCACUCUUGUUCCAAAACCAAUACAAAGCUGUAGCAAUCUUAAGAGGAUUUGUGGAACAAAAGAUGGCCAAGAUUGGAGGUUCUCUGCUUGUUCCUUGUGUUCAAGAGUUGGUCAAGAAUCCUAUGUUAGUUGUCCCUCCUAGAUACAUUUGUCCGGACGAAGAUUCACCACUCAAUUCUGAUCAUACUUUGAUUUCACAGAUACCAGUUAUUGACAUGCAGGGCUUGCUUUCUGAAGAAUCAAUGGAUUCUGAGUUAGCCAAGCUCGACUUCGCUUGCAAAGAAUGGGGUUUUUUCCAGGUAAAAUGCUUUAGCAGAGUUAGAAAGAUUUUUCAUGCUUGUCUGUGAUUUAAGAAUCAUGAAAUCUGCAAAACUCUCAGUCACAAAUUAUCUAUUUUUGAAACCCAGUUUCCAUUGAUUUAGCAUGUCAUGAUUUCAAAUUUCCCAUCUAGUCCUUUUGCUGCUUUCAGUGCUUCUAGGACUGCAGCUUGUGAAAUGUCAAGGAAGUUGUCUCUUGUUUUAUUGUACAAUUUAUGAGGCGAUAUGAGAAGAAAACACUCACCAUUUAUUUCUGAAACCCAGAUUCCAUUGAUAUAUUUGUUUUUGACUUUCUUUAUUACUUUACCUUUCCAUAUAGCCAUAGAUUUGUUAGUAUAAUUUGUAUUAAAAGAUGCCCAUGACAAAGUUCACCUAUUUUGUCUCAAUAGCUUUUGGUAGCUUAUGAGAAAUAUGCUUCUGUCAAUAUGUGAUUAAAGAUAUCGUAAUUGUAUAAGACUCCCGCAGAUUAUUAGCUGUUCUAGAAUAUUCAAAUUUCUCCAAAACUAUGACUAAAAAACACUUGUAAAAAUCAAUCAUUGAUUAGAUUUAUAAACAAAAUAAAAUUGGUGUUUAAUGCAACAGCAAUGUUCUCAGUUGAAAUGUAACAAAUGCUUUUAGCCAUCUUUGAUAGCAAAUCUUGUCUCUAAAUUAGUCAAAUAAGUUGCAAUCUGUCUUCAUAAAACGCCUGGACGAUUGUGAACCUAGUGGCACGAUUAUCAAAUCUUAGCUGCUGUUCAUUCCUGCAUAAUUUCAGCUGGUAAACCAUGGAGUAAGCUCAGCAUUUCUAGAGAAAGUGAAGAAAGAGGUUAAGGGCUUCUUCAAUCUCAGCAUGGAAGAAAAGAAAAAAUAUUGGCAGCAUCCAGGAGAUGUAGAAGGAUUUGGACAAGCCUUUGUUGUAUCUGAGGAACAAAAGCUUGAUUGGGCUGACAUUUUCUCCAUGAUCACUCUUCCAGUUCAUCUGAGGAAGCCACACUUAUUUCCUAAGCUCCCUCCUUCCCUCAGGUUCUCUCUUUUUGUGGUUGAUAUGGAUUUGCAAACAAAAAGAGAAAAUUAAACCUUCUAUGAUUCUAUCUAAUGUUUUACCUUCUUUUUUCUUGUAGAGACACCUUGGAAGUUUACUCGAUGGAGUUAAAAUCUCUGGCCAUGAACCUGAUAUCGAAAAUGGGAAAAGUUUUAAAUAUCAAAGAUGAAGAAUUGAGAGAAUUCUUUGACAAUGGUUUCCAAUCAAUGAGGAUGAACUAUUACCCUCCAUGUCCUCAACCAGAAAAGGUUAUGGGCCUCACCCCUCAUUCUGAUGGCUCUGCUCUUACCAUUCUGCUACAAAUCAAUGAAGUAGAAGGUCUCCAGAUCAAGAACGAUGGAAAAUGGAUUCCUAUCACACCGCUGCCAAAUGCUUUCAUUGUCAACAUCGGAGACACAUUGGAGGUAAUAAUUAUGAUUACUUUCCUUGGCAUUUUUAUGUCCCUUCUCAUGUGCUCUAAUAUUUUUAACAUUGCAGAUUAUGACCAAUGGGACAUACCGUAGCAUUGAACAUCGUGCAAUUGUGAACUCUAUACAAGAAAGACUUUCCAUUGCCACAUUUUACACAAAGAGAUUAGAUGGCGAAAUAUAUCCAGCAUCCAGUUUGAUAUCUGAAAAAACUCCUGCAUUGUUUCGAAGAGUGACAGUUGAAGAAUACUUUAGGAGCCGGUUUGCUCGUGAGCUUAGGGGAAAAUCUCACCUGGAUGACCUGAGAAUUCAACAUGGUCGAGGCUAGUACAAUUAUUUUGGAUAAUUGCAGAUUUGUGCCAGGAAUUUUCUGAUGAUAAUUGUGCUUAUUUUGGAUCAGUUUCUUUCAUUUUUGGAAUAGAAUUUUUGCAGGCUUGUCAUGUUUUUAUCAGAUUUCAAGAACUAUUUCACUUGCUUUCGGAGUUAAAGAUGAUUCAAAUAUGAUAUUAAAUACUUAAGCAUGCCAUUCUAACGCUUGCUUGUCCAAUUACAUCCUUAUCAACAAUAUAUUUUGUUACAAUGUCACUGAAGUUGAAUAGAUAACAACAUGCUUGGGUUAUAUGUUGUCAUUUGGCUUAACCAUCCGUCACAUUAAGCAGAUUGUUGUGAUAAUGUGUUUUACAACCUUCCCCAGUAGCAUGAAUGUAGUUAAAAUAAUUGUAACAAAUUUUGUAUUGCUUGUAGCAACAUUGUUCUCCAUAGCACACAUUGCCUGAGUACAAAAGUUGUAACUUGUUACCAAUAAUAAUAAUAAAAAAUAAUAAUAAUAGUAAUAAUAAUUAUCAAUAACUAAAAAUGAGACAGAUGUUACUUUCAUAAGUGGAACUUGGAUUCACAAGCAAAAUAUGAGGUUUUAAUUGGUUGUUAUCAGAAAAAAAUAUAAAGAUAAUUAAUGCCUAAACAUAAACAGCUAUAAUUGUAUAAAUGACUAAUCGAUUACAAUUCGAAUCCACUAUUUUCUUAAUAGUGCACAGUCAAUUCCAACACAGCACCAGAUUGCAGCGUGUUAGAAAAAUUUUUAGGUAAUCAUAUAUAUGUUUUAAUCAAUUAUGAUAAUAUGUUUACCCAUAUAUAAGAUUUGAAUAGAUAAAAAGUAAUACUCGAGAACCACCAAAGUCCUUUUAACUGCAGACACGCAAUGGUGGAUUACUCGCACAAGUCAAGAGCAAAAUACCAAGUUGUGAAAGAAAAAUAAAAAGGGGAAAAGAAAACAAAACGCAGUAUUGAAAAUACCUUCGCCUUUUGGGUUGAUGACAAGGUGGGAACCACAAAUAAUUAAUUGGCUGAUGGUUUGUCAUCGUUAUCCAUAGAGGAUAGUUUUGACCUGCGAAUAUUUUAUUUUGCAUUCGAAACAUGUGCAAAAAAUUAAAAAUACUUCAUGAAUGGUUAGGUGGAGGAUGCUGAUUAAUUACUUGGAAAAAGAUUCCUUUUUACUUUUGUGAUUGUCAGCACUCAGUCUUGUUCCAAAACCAAUACAAAGCUGCAGCAAUCUUGAAAGGAUUUGAGGAACAAAAGAUGGCCCAGAUUGGAAGUUCUCUCCUUGUGCCUUGUGUUCAAGAGUUGGUCAAGAAUCCGGCGUUAGUUGUCCCCGACAGAUACAUACGUCCAGAUCAAGAUUCACCCCUCAUUUCUGAUGAUAUUUUGAUUUCACAGAUACCAGUUAUUGACAUGCAAAGCUUACUUUCUAAAGAAUCAAUGGAUUCUGAGUUAGCCAAGCUCGACUUCGCAUGCAAAGAAUGGGGUUUUUUCCAGGUAUAAUGCUUUAGCAAAGUUAGAAAAUUGUUUCGCCAGAACAUGCUUGUUUGUGAUCAAGAAUCGAGAAAUAUGCAAAUUGUCAAUCAAAUAGGCAAAAUUAAAAUUCAUAUUUAUUUCUUAAACCCACGUAUCAUUGAUGUUAGCAGAUCAUGGUUUCACUUUCCAGUGUUGUCUGUGGCUUAGGACUGCAGCUUGUGAAAAGAAGAACUUGUCUCUGGUUUAUUUAUUAUUGACUUUCUAUAUUGCUUUACCUUUUCUCCCUCCAGGCAUGGUUUAAUUAGCUAUUUCAUUCCUAAAUGUCAAACAGGCAAUAUGUAUUAAAAAGAUUGUCUUGAGAAAUUUCACCUCCUCUGCCUCAAUAGCUUUUGGUACCUUAUGAGAAAUAUGCUUCUGUCAAAAUUUUAAAAGAUAUACUAUAGUAAAUUGUGUAAGACCUCUUAGAAAAUGUACUCAUUUCUGUAGUCAAUGUUGCAAAUUUACUUUAAUUUAAAGACAAUUAGAAGUAACAUUGAGAUUAUUUGCUGUUGUAUGAUUUUUCAAAUUCUAGGUGUGAACAAACCACAAGAACUUUAUGCUCAUUAUAGUUAUUCUAGAAUAACCAAAAUUUCUCCGAUAGAAUGAGUAGAAAACACCUGUGGAAACUAAUUGUUGGGAAGAUUUAAAUGUAACAAAUGCUUUUAGCCAUCUUUAAUGGUAAAUCUUAUCUCUAAAUCAGUCAGAUAAGUUGCAAUCUGUCUUAAUAAAACACCUGGACUAUUGUGCGCUUAGUGGCACGAUUAUUAAAUCUUUGCUGCAUUUCGUUCCUGUAUUUUUUUCAGCUGGUAAAUCAUGGAAUGAGCACAGCAUUUCUAGAGAAAUUAAAGAAAGAGGUUGAGGGAUUCUUCAAUCUCAGCAUGGAAGAAAAGAAAAAAUAUUGGCAGCGUCCAGGAGAUAUGGAAGGAUUUGGACAAGCCUUUGUUGUAUCGGAGGAACAAAAGCUUGAUUGGGCUGACCUUUUCUCCAUGAUGACUCUUCCAGUUCAUCUGAGGAAACCACAUUUAUUUCCUAAGCUCCCUCCUUCCCUCAGGUUCUCUCUCUCUCUCUCUCUGUGUCAAUGUCAUUUUGAUUUGCAAACAAAUAAAGGAUAGUGCAUCUUCUUUUCCUGUAGAGAGACCUUGGAAGUUUACUCAAUGGAAUUAAAAACCCUAGCCGAGAACCUAAUAUCGAAAAUGGGAGAAGUGUUAAAUAUCAAAGAUGAAGAAAUGAUAGAAUUCUUUGAAAAUGGACUGCAAGGAAUGAGGAUGAAUUAUUACCCUCCAUGUCCUCAGCCCGAGAAGGUUAUGGGCCUGUCGCCGCAUUCUGAUGCAGCUGCACUUACCAUUCUGCUACAACUUAAUGAAGUGGAGGGUCUCCAGGUAAAGAAGGAUGGAAAGUGGAUUCCUGUUACCCCACUCCCGGAUGCUUUCAUUGUCAACAUUGGAGACACAUUGGAGGUAAUAAUUAUAAUAAAUUACCUUAACCUGGCAUUUUUAUGCGCUUGCUUAUGUGCUUUAAUAAUUUUUACAUGGCAGAUUAUAACCAAUGGGACAUACCGCAGCAUUGAGCAUCGUGCAGUUGUAAACUCUGUACAGGAAAGACUUUCCGUUGCCACAGUUUACUCAGUGAGAUAUGAUGGUGAAGUGUAUCCUGCCUCCAGUUUGAUCUCUGAAAAAACUCCUCCUUUGUUUAGAAGAGUGAGAAUUGAAGAAUACUUUAGGAGCCGGUAUGCUCGUGAGCUUAGGGGAAAAUCUCAGUUGGAUUCCCUGAGAAUUCAACAUGGUCAAGGCUAGUAUAAGUUUAUUUUGGAUAACUAAAGAGUUUGGUACAAAAACUCUUAAGGACCUUGCUAUUAAGAUUGGCGUGGAACUGAAAAUAAGAAAUAAGUUCUAUGAAUACUGUGGUAUAACCUGCUAUGCUAGGGUCGUUGUGUAGCUCUAUCAUUUGAGAUACUGAAUAGACCAUGUAAGAAUCUUAAGAAUUGCAGACUUAUGCCUGGAAUCUUCCGAUGAUAUAUGGUGGUGCUUAUAUCAGAUCAGUAUCUUUCUUUCUUGAAAUAGAAUUUUUGCAUACCUGACUUGUUUUUAAUGAGAUUUCAAGGACUAUAUGACUUGGUUUCAAAUUUUUAUGAUACAUACAGAUAAUAUUACCACAGAACCAGUGUAGUUUCUGUAUCAGCCGUUAUAGUUUUCAGUUAAUAGUAACAAGUUUUUGAUUUUUAACAAGAAUGUUGUCCUUCCACGUCUUAAAUAUUCCGUUCCAUAACACACAUUGUGACGAAUACAUAACUUGUUACCAUUGACGAAAAAUUUUGCCAUCAAUAGCUGAAAAUAGAUGUUAGUUACACAAGCUGCAAAGCUAUAACUUUGGAUUUCAUAUUCAGAUUGUCCCUCUCAAAGUUGAACUUGGAACUACGGUUGAUGAUCUGCUAUUAUGCUGAGAAAAAUACAAGAUUUUUUUUUUGGUUGUCAUCAGACAAUGUAAAAGAAAUUAGCAUGGGAUCCAAAUUCUUGAGAGUUUGAUAAGGCAAUGCACUAUAUUUUUUUAUAACUCGCAGCAGACAGCAGCACAACAGCAGACUGCAACUGUCAUAUUCACAAAAUAUCUAUGGGCCAACCCUAGACCCGCAAUGGUGGAUUAGUCUCACACAAGGCCACAGCAAAUAAUGACUUGUAGAAAAUAAUACAUUUUCAACAUUUGCUUUGUCAAUAAAAAUCUGUAGCAUUAUUGUUGAGAGAAUUUGUGCAACAAAAAGAAGGCCAAGUUCGGAGGUUCUCUGCCUGUGCCUUGUGUUCAAGAGUUGGCCAAGAAUCCUAUGUUAGCUAUCCCCCCAGGUACAUACCACCACGCUAAGAUUUAACCACAAUUUCUGAUAAUAAUUUGGAUUCACGGGUAUUGCAGAGCUUGUUUUCUGAAGAGUCAAUGGAUUCUGAGUUGUCCAGGCUCCACUUCGCUAGCAAAGAAUGGGCUUCUUUCCAGGUAAAGUCCUUUGCCAAGUUAUUAUUAUUUUGCUUUUAAAGGAUUUGCUUGGGAUGAGACCUCAUCUACUAAAUACCACCCUUUGUCCCAUAUUGUUACUCGAGCGCAGAUAUCUGCAAAUUGCGAAUUACAUUCACAACCAGCUAAGCUACACCUGCCGUGAGGCACCCAAGUUUGUACUUUUUCAUUUGGACAUGCUUGGUUUGUUAAUAGUAGUCUGGGGUCAAGAAUUAAGAAAUCUGUAUACUCUCAAUCAAAGAGCACAGUCGAUCAAAUUCAGAUUAGAUUAUGUUCCAUUCUUAUAGGUCAAGUAGGCCACAAAUUUGGCCUACUCUGUAUCAAUGCUUUCUUACACUGUAAGUUAGCAAUAAGAAAGCUGUAACAAAAUUUGAGUCUACGUAGUCUUAACCAAGCCGGUUUAAGCACUCUUUUUUUUAAAAAAAAAAACAUUGAGGGAUGUAACUGACCUUGUCCGAUUAUGGACCCAUCUAACUUGCUUUCUUGUAUGGCUGAGAAGAAAAACCUGCAUUCUUGAAAAUUAAAUUGUCUUUAAUAUCUUUCAGAUGUCUAGGCUUGCGGUAGCUUGAGAAGAACUAUAAGCAAAUUUAUGAUGGAGUAUAAUGCAAAUGCGAUUCUAUUAGUUUAUUGAAAUCUAACAAAUACUUUUAUUCAUCGCACUCAGUAAAUUUUGCCUGAAUUAGUCCAAUAAGUUGUACUCUGUCUCAGCAAAAUACCUUGACCAAAAUAAAAAACGUAGUGACACGAUUGUUAAUGUCUUAGCUGUUUUUCUGUUUCUGAAUUGUUUCAGCUGGUAAAUCAUGGAGUGAGCCCUGCAUUUCUAGAGAACGUAAAGAAAGAGAUUCCGGAAUUCUUCAAUCUAAGCAUGAAAAAAAAAAAAUUGGCGGUCUCCAGGAGCUGUGGAAGGAUUUGGACAAGCAUUUGUUGUAUCCGAGGAACAAAAGCUUGAUUGGAAUAACAUUUUCUUCAUGACAACUCUUCCAGUUCAUCUGAGGAAACCCCACUUGUUUCCUAAGCUCCCUCUUUUCCCCCUCAAGUUUCUCUCUCUCUAGGCAGUUAUUUGAUGAUUGCAAAUGUAUUAUGUUCAGAGAAAGAUCCCAAGUCAGUUAUAUUUAGCAAAAUUUGACAACCAAACAUGAUUUUGAAAGAAUACUGCUAAAUAAUAACUUAUUUAACAAUCCACCACAAUCAUGUACUAAACCUUCUAAUUGCGUCUUCUUUUUUCUUGUAGGAAAUUUUGGAAUUUAUUCAGUGGAGUUAAAAAUCUUUGGCCAUGAACCUGGUAUCGAAAAUGGGAAAAGUUUUAAAUAUCAAAGACGAAGAAUUGAGAGAAUACUUUGAAAAUGGUUUCCAAUCAAUGGGGAUGAACUAUUACCCUCCAUGUCCUUAGCCGGAGAAGGUUGUGGGCCUCACAACUCAUUGUGAUGACUCUGCUCUUACCAUUCUGCUGGAAAUCAAUGAAGUAGAAGGCCUCCAGAUCAAGAAGGAUGGAAAGUGGAUUCCUGUUACACCUUUCCCAAAUGCUUUCGUUGUCAACAUUGGAUAUGUGUUGGAGGUAAUUAUUAUGAUAAGUUAUUUUAACUUGACAUUCAUAUGAGCUAGCUAAUGUGUGCUUUCAUUAAUUCAUGUUGCUCCACUUCCUAAUGCUUUCAUUGGAGACACAUUGGAGGUAAUAAUUAUAGUAAAUUACUUAACUUGGCAUUUAUAUGCGCAUGCUCAUGUGCUUUAAUAAUUUUUACAUGGCAGAUUAUAACCAAUGGGACAUACCGUAGCAUUGAGCAUCAUGUAAUUGUAAACUCUGUACAAGGAAGACUUUCCAUUGGCACAGUUUACUCAGUGAGGUAUGAUGGUGAAAUGUACCCUGCGUCCAAUUUGGUCUCUGAAAAUACUCCUUCAUUGUUUAAAAGAGUGAAAGUUGAAGAAUAAUUUCAGGAAUCUGUGUGCUCGUAAGCUUAGGGGAAAAUCUCAUCUGGAUGCCUUGAGAAUUGAACAUGUUCAAGAUUAUUAUAAGUUUAUUUUGGAUAACUAAAGAGUGUAGUACAAAAACCGUGGGGGACCUUGCUAUUACAAUUGUGUGUGGAACUAAAAAUAAGAAAUAAGUGUAAGAACAAUAAAUCCUUUGGUGAAAAUCAUCACCUCAAUUUAGGAACAUGUAUGUUGUAUCACCAAAAAUUAAUAAUAGAAUAUGCGGCAGUGUACCUAAGUUCAUAAUGCACAAUUGCUCUUUAGAGCCGAGUAGUUUGUCUUCCAAAUAAACAUGUUCUCCUAAAGAAUUCUUUAAACUUCUCUAUACUGUCUCUUUAAUGAUGAGAUGUCAAUAGAGAAUAGAACAAUACGUGUGACCUAUGGAUAAUAACUACUUAUAUAUAUAGAUUUUCCUUUUGUUUUUAGGUAUUCUUAUUUCAACCCAUUAUAAAAAUCAAAAUUAGUCUUAAGUCUCUAUACAUUAAAGGCCCACAAUCUAUUAGAUACAUUAAAACCCAAAUUACCGAAAACCUUAAUAGACCAAUUUUAAUUUGGCUUAGAGUUAGACUAUUGGCACCCCUCCAAAAUUCUUCUAAAACCCCUUUUUCAAUAAUGCUAAGCUUAAUGCCAAAAAUACCCUUAUUUCUAAAUAAACACAUUUAAUUUGUGAAUCUUUUAAUUUUUAUUAUUUUCUCGCUCCUCACAAACAAAAUUUUAUGGGUGAUAAGUUUCUUGAUAAAAAUCAAUUAAUAAAAUAAAAUAUCUGUAAGAUUAUAAUGUAAAAAGUUUUAUUAUGAGCCUUAAAAAAAGGUAGAUAAUUUUUUCAAAAUGUGUUUUGUUUAUUAUCAAUAGAUUGUCUUAGUAAUUGAAGAAAAAUUUACAGAGAAUUUGAGAAAAAAAUUACAUGUGUGAGUUUGAUGGCAGAGAAAAUACAAGAGCUUUUUUUUUAAGAGAGAAAAUACAAAAGUUUGAAGUGAGAUAAAAUAGAUGUGAGAUAUAUUAGAGUAUUUGUCCUUAAAUGUAAUUGUAAUAGAAGAGGAAGUUUAAAAGGAUUUUGAAGGGGUGUCAAUAGUCCAACUCUUUGGCUUAAUCUUAUAUGACAAUUCACAUCAUAUAAUUAUUCACAUAUAAGCGCAACAUUGGAUCAAGGAUCCAACCAUACCAGAUUAAAGAUCCAACAACCUUUCACUUGGACUAUAUAUAUAACUUUGUAAUUAUACUUUACAAAAAUAACUAUAUGAGGUCAACUUUACUGUCAUUACCAAAAUGCAUCUAUAGCCAAUUCGGUCCAUCUAUCAUACCAACAUAGGAUCAAAAUGACCUUUAUUACAAAUAUCGUAACUUGACCCAUCAAUGCUCACUAUGCCAGCAUAACUUAAUGACAUAGAUCAUGAUAUGGUGUAGGAUGGAAAUUUUAUGUAAUGUGAUUUCAACAUGCCUAUUUUCAAUUGAUCCACCUUAAACAUUAGUGAGAUCAAAUUAUACAAAAUUAGAGUGUAAAUAAACCAAAAUUUUAUUUCUGUAGAAAAUAGCCUUAAAUAUCCCCAAACCGAAAAAUGUUUAUAUCAUAAAAGCAUUUAAAAGUUACAAACUCCCAUUAAAAAUGAAUAUCAAUAUCCUUUAAUGACAUGACACCCAUAUGAACAAUGUGCUCAUGAAACAUUUUAAAUGACAUUCCCUUAGUAAACGGAUCUGUAAUCAUGGAGUUUGUACCAUUAUACUUUAUAGACAAUUGUCCACUCUGAAUUCCUUAGGAACUUGAUGUCUAUAUACUGUGACAUCGUUGAGCUCUUAUUGUUAUUGGAAUAUAGCACUGCUGACUUAUUGUCACCAAAUAACUUAAGUGGUCUAUCAUAAGGGUGUCAAAAAAGCCUGCCCGGACCGGACCCGGCCCCCGGACCGCAUGCACAUAAAAACCGGACCCAGGUUUGAAAUUCUCAAACCCGGACAUUUCCGGGCCCGGGUCCGGGUUCAACACCAAAAACCCGGAACCCGGACCGGACCCGGUUUUUUAAUAAAUUUUUUUAAAAAAUAUAUAAAUAUAUAAUUAUGAAUUUAUGAUAUGUUGGAUGUUAUUUAAAUUUAUUGUGUGAUUAUUGUGUUGUUGAAUUUAAUUUAUUUAUUUUAUAUAUAGAUUGAAUGAGUUUAAGUUAGAAAUUGGAUGAAUUUAGGUAUUAGAAAGUGGAUUGAAAUAAUUUUAAUUUAUCAUUUGUGCAAAAUUUGCAUUGUUAGUGUGUUAUAUAUUUGUAUUUGACUAUUUGCUUUUUUAAAGUUUGAGAUUGAAUGAGUUUAUUUGAUUAUUUUCUUUUUUUAAAUUUGCAUUGUUAGAGAAAUGAAAGAAAAAAUUGAAGAAAAAAAUUGAAGUUAUCACAUGCGGGUUUAGAAAGCCCGGAUCAAAACCCGGACCCGGAAGGUGCCGGGCUCAACCCCGGACCGCACCCGAAAAAAUUGGGUUUUAACCCGGGUUCGGUCUUGUAUUUCUCUCAUCCAGUCCCGGGCAACACCAAAACCCGGACCGGACCCAAAUUUUGUCAAGCCUAGUCUAUCAAUACUAUUUAAAAUGAGUAAUUCUAUGACGAAAUUUUGUAGCCAUAUUCCUUGAUUGGAUAUUUCGUAACAUGCUGUGAACUCCGCUGCUAUAGUAGAAAAGGCUAUAAGAGACUGUUUAGCACUCUUUCAGGAAACAACACCCCUAGCCAGUAGCUAGAUGUAACCAAAAGUAGAUUUCAUAUUAUCUUGGGAUCUAACAAAAUCAGAGUUAGCAUAAUGAUCUCAAGCUGAUCUAACUUUCGAUGUAGUCUUUUGUUCUCUGUAAGUAUCGCAAGACCCGUUUGGCUGUUUCCCAAUAGUUUACCCCUGGAUUACUUAAAUAUCUAUCCAACAUUCCAGUAAUGUAUGCAAUAUUCAGUUGCGUACAAACCUAAACAUACAUCAGACUUUCUAUUACUGAUGUAUAAGGAAUCUUCUACAUUUUUUAUUCCUUAAAAUCAUCAUUAGGGCACUAAUUGUGUAACAUCCAUUAUUUUUGUUUUAUUUAUUUAUUUUUUAUUAUUUUACUACUACUACUACUACUACUACUACUACUACUACUACUACUACUACUAUUAUUAUUAUUAUUAUAUCUAUUUUAGAGAAUAUAGUAUUUUAGGCUAAUGAUUUUAAGCGUGUUUUAAUUUUUCUUUAUUUAUUUGAUUUACCAAUUUAGUAAAUACCUUAUUAAAAAAGGAAAUAAAUUCCUAAAUAGGUAAGGGUGUUAAAAGGCUUGGCUUUAUAAAAGCUUCUCUUGCGUUGUUUUAUUUCUCAAAAUCCUAGAGGCUGAAUACAACAACACACACAAGAGUAAACCUUUUUUUUUUAAGAAGAGAAGUAGAUUUUGAUUGGUUUUUUUCUUUUCCAUAAAGAAAUUCUUGAGUUUUGAAUUUGUUUUGAAGGAUUUAGCCUUCUGGUUUUAUUUGUGAUUUUAUGUGAUUGAUUGAAUGAUUUUGUGUGUAUUACAUUGAUAAAAUUGUGAAAGCAUGAUCAUCUAUUGAUUUAUGUUGUUAUUGAGUGAAAGUGGUGCUAUUAUUUUAUCUUGAAAACAGUGAACAACAUAGAUUCAAUGUUUUAUGACUGCUGUUUUCAUUAAGUCUCAUGCAUAAAAUUUUAUAAUUUAUUAAACUAGACAUCUUUAUCUUUCUAUUUAUAUGUUUAUCGUUCAAAACUCAUUGUAUAUUAAUUUUUUUGAUUUUUCAAAAUUGGAACACUAGUGUUGGAAAAUUCCAAUUUUCAGCAGCAGUUCUCGUUACUAUAAUUUAUUUGGUAACUCAAACGAUUUCUGAAAAUUCUAGGAACGUUUUUCAUUUUACACAUAUAUGUCUAGUUUCUGUAUACUUAAAUUCCUAAUUUUUGGCUUUAUAUAAAAAUAAUUAAAAAUCAUAGAGCUAGGCUACCGUAAUAUUGGAAAUUGUUUUCUAGAAUUGCGAGGGUUGAUAUUGAAGCGAGUUUGGGUUACUUUUUCAUAGUGAAUGCUAGGGGUGGGCAAAAUACCCGACCCGAUCCGACCCGAAAAAAUUCGGGUUCGGGUCGGUUCGGGUUGUUAUUGAAACCCGAACGGGUGAAAAAUUGCAAACCCGAUCGGGUUGUGAUUGGGUCGGGUAAAACCCGAUCCGAUCCGAAUACCCGAUCGGGUCGCACAAAAAAAAAAAAUCACUAAACCUAUAAACACAUCACACAUGCACACACCAGACACCAGACACCACACACACGGCCAUGCAAAGUUACAACUCAAAAAGUCACAAAAACAAGUGGCUAAAAAAAUAUUGACAAAUAAAAAACAAAAUAUAAUUAUAACCCACGCACACAGGCCACAGCCACACACAAACAUUGAAACAUAUCUUCGCUGCCUUCACAGCCCUCAUCCCCACAGCCCUCAUCCUUACACUCACAACUUCACACACACACACAAAUAUCGCAAAAGCCAAAAGCAAAGCGGCAGCUAGCAGCCAACGCAGAGAAGAGAACGGAGGAAGCGCAGCCAGUGCAUGCAGCCACCUAACCCGUGACUGGAUCUACUGCUCCGCGACAUCCGUAGCUACCAGAUCUGCUGUUGCCGGAUAUCUACAGGAUCUGUUGCUGCUGGAUCCGCUGCGCUGCUAUCGGAUCUGCUGUUGCAGCCUCCACCAUCACCGAGUUCCACCGCGAAGGUGCGAACCGGCAACUCGAAUUCUUUUCUUUUUUUGAUGUUUUGAUGGGAUAUAAUAAUAUAUUAUAUAUUAUCUGUUAAUUGCUAAGUAUAUGUAUUGUUAAAUGUUAAUAAUAAAAUGAGGGAAAUUCUUGUAUGGAAAGUUUUGGAGUUUAAUUUAUUAAGUCUGUGGAAGCUUAAAUAAUAAGUAUGAAUUGAUUUCUUUUUUUUUGUUUUGUUUUUAAUGAAUAGAUUAAGCAAAUUAAGCAUUAAAAUUAAAUAUUUUGCAUUUGAUCUGUGCAAUGUUUCACCCGAUCCGAAUUAACCCGAAUUUAACCCAAUUAUUUGACCCGAUCCGAUCCGAUCCGAAUAUAUUCGGAUCGGGUUACAACUUCGGGUUGAGUUCGGAUGAAUUCUUUUCUAACCCGAUCAACCCGAAAUCCAAUCGGGUUGAUCCGAACCCGACCCGAACCCAAAAAUGCCCACCCCUAGUGAAUGCCUUAUAAAUUUAACUUUUAUAUUCAAUGCAAACGUGUUCACAAUAGUUUUUUGUAAUAUUUUUGAUUUUUCUGACAUAAUUAUAGCUUGUUAGAAAUUAACUCUUACAAGACGAUCGAGUGUAGUUUAGUGAAUUGAUGUGCUUUAGUAAGAGUAAAUGGUUUAAGGAUAUUUUGGCUUUCUUAUCAACGUCAAAAUUGAAAAAAAAAAUUGAUAAGAAUCUUAUCUUGAUAAUUAUAGGCCAAGAACGAGCUCGUGUGAUUGGGGUUAUUGUUGAUUGCUUCGUAUUGAGUUAAGUGAACUCAUGCAUAAUGUUUAUUAUAGUUAUAUAUGUAAAUAUCUAGAAAAGAAUAAUGUUAUUCAUAUAAAUUGACAUUUUAUGGUUUUGAAGUUAUUUUACUCUUAUAUUUUAUGAUAAUAAAUAAUGUUUUGAUUAAAACUUUAUUUAAAAUAUUUUCUUAAACUAUUUAAAAAAUAACUUUAAAAUAAUUGUCUUUCCAUAAAUUGGUCUUCCUUAAAAAUAUUUGUUAAGCUUGCCAAUUCAAUGUCUUAUAAGAGCAUUUUAUCAUAAUAUUACUGAAUGAUUGAUAUUGAAAGACUGAAAUUGUAUUUAAGAUUUUGGCUCAUUAACCGUAGUUAUUGUUGCUGAUAUAACCGAACAUUUAACUAUAUUGUGCGCACCUAUUGAUGAUUAUAGUUGGGUAACGUACCCUAAUUGAACUACUAACCGAGUCAUCGGGGUUAUAGGUGACUUACUAAACUAAUACCGGGUCAUUAGGGUUAUAGGUGACUUAUUGAACCACUGGCCGGGUCACCGGAAGUACAGGCGACACUAUAUGACAUGAGCAAUUGAAUAAAUGAAUGGUUAUAUUGAUAAAUGAUUUCCGAAAUGAUUAUUUAUUAAAAAUGGUUAUUACAUUAUGAUUUAACUAAUUAUAAGUUUUAAUGUACACUUAUGGUACUUUAUAAUGAUUGUUUUGUAUUUUAUCGUUAUUAGUAACCUUAUGCAUGAGUUAGUGUUGAGUGUUAGAAAAUGCAUAUUUAUAAAGGAGAAAAUUGUCAUUUUACAUUUCAUGUCUUACUAACAGCCCUUACUUUUAUGUAUUUAAGCUUCUUGUAAUUUAAUUAUGUGUGUUUUAUUUUAAUUAAGUAUUUUAUGUAUUUUAGGGGCAUCAUGGUCAUUUCACAAUAAACGAGAGAUCAGACGGCAAAAUGGACAUCACUUUUGAACUCAGGACGGUUGAAAAUCUUAGGAGGAGCAUAAAAGGAAAAAUGACACUGUUCACAUGUACGGUACUGUCUAUGUUACUAUUCACGACACUGUUCACAUAGACGGAUCGAUGAUGUGGCAUUGACCGAUGAUGUGGCAUUGACUGAUGAGGUGUCACGAUCCUGUUGGACUAAAAUUCUUAUGCACUGUUGAUUGAUGACGUGGCAGCAUAUCAGUGGACCAAAAAUCUCGCGUACGGUACAUGCAUUAUACAGGAUUAUUUUCAACCAAACUGAGUCACUGUUCAACUCGGGGCAAACCGUGUUACUGUUCAUCCAAGUGGUCAAACCGCAUACUGUUGACUGAUAACGUGGCGCAAUCCUGAGCGUCCAAACUGUUUUUAAUCCGAUGGCCACGAUUUACUUAAUGUAUCUACAAAAAGGGGGCCUCCCCUCUAAUUUGAUACCUCUGAAUCCAUUUUUUGGAUCCAUUUUCUAUAAUUCCUUCUCCAUCUUGUAUUUUCUACGUAUUUUAAUAAAUUUCUAUUUUGCCCCUAGUUCAAUUAUGAGUAACUAAUUUUCUUUCAAGCUUGGGUUGAAGGUGAAGUCUCAACAUGUGUCAUGGGCUUUAUUUGGUAAAUUUAUUUUCUCUUCCCCUCUAGUUUUUGUGGAUGUUUUGACUUCUCGUCGAUAAAUAAUAAUAAUAUUGUUUAGUACCGCCUUGGUUUCACCGGCUCCCUAAUACAAAGUUAUUAUUAUUUGGCACGAUAAGCCCUUAGCACCAUAUUGAUUAGAGCGUAGUUCAUGAGGUGUGAAUUCCCCCCUCAUGAUUUAAUUGGUAUUAAUAAGGAAUAUUUAGCCCAUGGUGCAUUUGAUAUGAAUUCAAAUACCCAAGUACGUCAAUUUAAUAGAUUUUCACUUUAAUUUCUUCUCGCCAUUUCAAUUCCAAUUUUUAGGAUAAUUUAAAUCACUUCCACCACAAAUCCAACCACCUCAUACAAAAUUAAUUCUAUAUAUAAUUAAAAUCCACCUCCUCGUGAGAUCGACACUCGUCACUAUUAGUCUAUUAUACAAUAGAUUCGUAAGCUUGCGAGUUCAAUAAAAUUUGCACAACAAGUUUUUGGCGCCGUUACUGGGGAGGUAAGUUAUUUUAAUUUGUAGAAUUAAUUUUUGUCAAUAAUUUCUUUUAUUUGUUUUCUUUUUUUUUCUUAUUAAAAAAAAGGGAAAAAAGAGAGUGAAUUUGCAUUGAGAGAUUAGUAUUUCUUUUCUUUUUCUCUUCUUUAAAAUUCUGUAAUUUAAUUUUCAAGUUAUUUUUUUCUUCUUUGUAAUUUUUGUUUAUCUUACUAAUUUUUUUAAGUUAAUUUAUUUCACGUAUUUUUUUGUGUGUAUUUUUAUAGUAAGGUUGUAAUAGCGCGAUAAGGUUAGUAUCGUAAUUUCUCCCUCUUCUUUAUUUUUAUUUGUUUUGUUCCCAUCUUUAUUUUUAUUUUAUUUGUUUUACAUGCAUAGUCGAAGAUCAUUAUUACCUAAUCUUAAACCUAUAGACCUGGAACUAGAAAAAAUACUUCGCACACACAAGCACGUUAAAAAUAAAUUUGGAAUGGAUUUACAAGUACCACAAGAGAGGCCAUUUAAGGACUAUUUUAGUCCUUUAGCUAAUUUGAGCACAUCAUGUAUAAGAUACUCAAAUGUAGCUGCUACGAGUUUUGAACUAAGACCUAGUCUGCUAAAUUGUCUCCCAACAUUCUAUGGCCUAGAAAAUGAGGACCUUUAUAAUUAUUUGAAUGAUUUUCAUACUAUUUGUCAAACAUUUAAAUAUGAGAAUUUUUCAUAUGAUGAUGUAAAACUUAGACUAAUCCCAUUUUCUUUAAAGGAUAGAGCUCGUUCAUGGUUUAAUAUAUUGCCUGCUAAUACCAUUUCAUCAUGGGAACAAAUGGUAACGAAAUUUUUAAAUAAAUAUUUCCCAGUGCAUAAAACUAAUGCUAUUCGCAGGGAAAUUUCAAAGUUUACCCAUAGAGAAGAUGAGCAGUUUUUCGAAACAUGGCAGUAAUUUAAUGGGCUACUCUUGAAGUGUCCACAUCAUGGGUACGAGAAAUGACACCAAUGCCAAUACUUUUUGGAGGGAUUGUUGCUGAAUGUGUAAGAAUGACUAAUGGCAACAAGUGGAGGAGAGCUAAUGUCAAAAAGUGCAUCAGAGAUUUGGGAAUUCUUCUAGCGACAAGUGGAUAAUUCCCAACAACGGAGUCGAUCACUCAGGAAUACUAGAAGAAUUAAGGGAGUGAAUGAGGUUCACAUUGACGAGUCAACUUCAGGAAUCAAAGAAGUCAAGGAGAUGGUUGAAGGUAUCGCUCGACAAAUAGCAUCAUUAUCGACUGCUAAAUCAACAGAGCCACAUGACCAUGACUCAUACUCAGAUCAAGCCAAUACCAUAGGUGUAAUGAGAAGCCAUCAAAUUACAACCCAUACUCCAACACAUAUAACCCAGGAUGGAGAGACCACCCCAAUUUUUUAUGGUCUCAAGGAUUCCAACAGAAUGAAGCAGCAGCUCCAGCUCCACCAAUGCAACGAAUUCCUCAAGUUCCUCAAGCCUCUCAGCCACCAUUUAGACCAUACAAUCAGAACCAGAACUACUCUCAACCCAGACCAUGGGAGGAUGCAUUCCAGAAUUUCAAGAAUGUUACUCACUCUACGAUUGAGCAACAGAACCGCACCAUUGAUAGACUACGAAAUGAGUUGAGAGCAGGUUUCAACUCACAAGCCCAAUCAGUUUCAAGCCUUGAGAAGAUGGUGGGACAACUUGUUUCUUCAGUUCAGACCUUGGCAAUGACCGUUGAGAAAGGUAAAUUUCCAAGUCAACCAGUGCCUAAUCCUAAAGGAGUACAUGAUGCAAGUACUAGUUCACCACAGCAGCAUGGAGAGGUAAAAGUUGUCAUGACUUUGUGAAAAGAAAAAGAAGUCGACAACAAAGUGGAGAUGUAGGUGAUAAAAGAAAAUCAAAUUGUACCUGUAAAUGUUGAGGACUCAUCACCGGAGGAGAAAGAAGAAACGAACCUACGAGAAUAUGUUCCUAAAUCUCCAUUUCCUCAGAGGUUAGUAAAAGGAAAAAAGGAAAAAUUCACAGGUGAGAUUCUUGAAAUCUUCAAACAGGUAAGUGUUAACAUCCCUUUGUUUGACGCUAUAAAACAAGUUCCAUCUUAUGCUAAGUUUCUUAAAGACCUUUGUAUUAAAAAGAGAAACAUUCAUGUUCAAAAGAAGGCAUUUUUGACAGAAAACGUUAGUUCUAUACUCCAACAUAAAAUUCCUCUAAAAUGCAAAGACCCAGGCUCCCCCACUAUCUCAUGUAGUAUAGGGAACCACACAAUUGAAAAUGCUUUGUUGGAUUUAGGAGCUAAUGUAAAUCUGUUGCCUUAUUCAGUUUUCGUGAAACUUGGAUUGAGAGAAUUACACCCAACUCCAGUGGGGUUGCAGCUUGCAGAUCGGUCCACGAAAAUACCUCGUGGCAUUAUGGAAGACGUGCUUAUCCAGGUAGACAAGUUUUAUUUUUCUGUUGAUUUCAUUGUAAUUGACACUCAACCAAUUCAGGAUUCAAGGAAGCACAUCCUCAUUAUUCUAGGCCGACCUUUCUUGGCAACUGCAAAUGCUCACAUUCAAUGCAGGACUAGAAAUAUGCAGUUGUCCUUCGGCAACAUGACUAUGGAGCUGAACAUCUUCAACAUUGCCAAAUAACCUCACAAUGCAGAUGAUAAAAUUGUUGAUGCGGAUUUAAUAGAAACAUUAGUUGAUAAUACCUUUGUUUCAAACCUUAGUGAUGACCCUUUACAAACAUGUUUAACUCAUUUUGGUUUGGAUUUUGAUAUUGACAGAUCAGUCGAUGAGGUCAACGAAUCACCGUUUAAUUCCAGAAACGAGAUUAUGUGUCUGUCCGUUUACCCUUUCACCGUUUGCCACAAUCGGUGAACCGUUUUUCAACAGAGAGUCCUCUAACAGUUACUCCUUAGCCGUUAAGCGCUUAGGCUUUCACCGUUUCCCUUUCUUCAGCCUCUGGAAGUUACCCUUUAACCGUUUUCGCGAAGUCUAAAAUCUGUUCAAAGGUUUUCUUCUCCUUCUCCAGUUACCCUUUCACCGUUUCCUCCAUUGUUGCGCAGCCGAAGGUUUCUUUGUCCUCAAAUCCUCAUUUUUUCUUGCUUUCCUUGCCAAAUCAAACCUUCAAAAUUAUUUCUUAUCACCUUUAGAACAAUUCUACCGAUUCAAAACUUCAAAUCGAGCCCAAAAUUAAAAAAUCCCAAAUCUAAACCCUAACUGUCGCGGGUCGGGUUUCUUCAUUCUUAAUCCGAUUUCCACAUUUCUUCAACCAAAUUGAACAUCCUACUCACAUCCUCUACUCUUCUUUAAACCUUUUAUCGAUUUACUUUCGUCCCAUUACGUGUUUCCAUGGCUGAACCCUCUCGGAGAAAUCCCAGGCGUAAAUCUGUGCCCCCAAUGAAUCCCAUACCACCUCGGGAGGUCUCUGAGUUUUCAAGGAUUCACUUCCCCACACCUGCCUUGGCUAAGCGGUUCGAAGAUCGCUUUGAUGGUCGAAAGGUACUUGAUCCUUUUUUUGUUGAUAUUGAUAAUUUCCGCAACUUAGUUGUAUGUGGUAGAAGCAUUAGGGAUAUGCUUCAGCCUUGGGAGGCUGCCAUUGAUUUUGAUGACCGAGUUUAUCCAAACUUAGUGCGAGUCUUUUAUUCGAACAUGGAAAUCUCCGACACUCGCCUAAAUAGGAUAGUUACUCAUGUCGGCCGUGUGCCAAUAGAGUUUGAUGAUGCGGACCUAGCUGACCUUCUUGGUAUCUCUUGUGAGGGGCUUGAUAUUUACACCUCUAGGAAAGCCCUCUCCUUUGAUAGUUUUUCUCAUACUCAUGGCGUCCGUAAUAUAUGUCGUCGUCAAGACUUAUCGGAUGAGAUUUGUUUGCUUCCGUUUCGGUCUCAACUUUUACCUCUCCAAGUUCGUAUUCUUCACACUAUUUUACAGCACAUAGUGACUCCUAGGAAGGGUCACUCGGAUGAGGUUACGAGGUUGGACGUUCCCUAUUAGAUAGCCUUCUUACAGACCGUCCCAUUAACCUCGGGUAUAUUAUUGUGCGACAUAUGUUGAGUACUCCAGCGAUCAACCAUCGCUUGCUUCCUUAUGGCAGUAUCAUCACUAAAAUACUGCGACGCUUUGAGGUGCCACUUCUUGAUAUUGGACAUAUGGAGACUCGACGGAUUGGUUCCGAGGCCAUGACCAGUAUCGGAUUCUCUAGAAAGAAUGGAGUGUGGAUAAAGACAAGCAACUCCAAAAACCGGGAUACCUUGAUUGCUCCAGAGGACGAUCGGAUGCUCAAUGAUGUCUAUUCUCCCGAUCAGCUUCUUGACUUUAGAUUAGGAGCUCAUCCUCAUCCUCCGCGUCGCCAUUUUUUCCCUCGGCCUCCAGCUGACUCAGACUUUGAGGAGCGUGCGAUGGAUGCUGAUAUUCCCUCCUCUUCCGAGCCGCCUCCUGCUCCUGAGCCUUAUGCUGUUCCCGAGCAGCCAUCUGCCUCUAUGCCGCCUCCAGCUCCAGUUCAGCCCCUUGCUUCAGAUGCAGUGCAGCAGCUGAUUACUGAUGUUCAGCGGAUUUCGGAGCGACAGCAGCUGAUUCUUGAUCGGUUGGACAUCAUUUCCCGUGAUCACCAGCAGCUCCGCUCUGACUUUCAGAUUUUCCAGCAGCAGAGCAUUGACCAGUAGCUCAAGCUUAUCGCCGGACAGCGCACUCUUCUCAGCUAUUUCGGCUAUGAUCCGGGGAGCACAUCUUCUCCGCCUCCAUAGUUUCUGAGUUCUGUUUUCGCACAUACAUUUUUCCAUUUUGGUUGUUAGCUUUUUCAUACUUCGUAUAUGGAUUUUGAUGCAUAUGUGUGUGAUGUUCUUGAUGAUUAGAUGAUUGAUGCUUUGUGAUUGAAUAAUUGUUGGUAUGUUUGUGGAUAUUGAAGUGUUCUUUUGUUUUGAUCAUGGAGUUGUUGGCUUGUUGAAAGAAGAAGUUGGUGUCAAUCUAUUUUUUGAAGUGUUCUAUCUCAUUUUGUAUAAGUGGUUUUGAUCAUUUUUAAGGGGAAACUCUGCCAAAAUUUUCGCUCGCCAAAGCCGGGCAACUUCUUUAAUGGAUUUGUGUAUUUCUUAUUUCUUCUUUUCUUUUUGAUGAUGAAGGGGGAGAUAAUUAUGGUUUUUAAGAUGGUUUUUAAAUGGGGAGAUAUUAUUUUAAGAUGGAUUUAAAAUGGGGAGAUUUAAAGAAAAAAUCCUUUUAUUCAUAUUUCUCAAUUUGUCCAUACAUGUAGGGGGAGCACAUAUUAAGGGGGAGCUAAACAUUGAAUGAAAUUUGUCAUCAUAAAAAAUGGGGAGAUUGUUAACAUAAAUAUGUUAAUAAUAUUGAUUUUGAUGAUAACAAAUUUUAUAUGGUUUUUGACAAAAAUAUUGGAGAUAUUUCUUAAUAAACGAAAGCCCUUUUAUUCAUUGCCUUAUUUUUUCAUAAAAGAUGGACUUUCAAAUUAGAAAGAGAUUCUCUACAAAAAAAAAAACUCGUUUAAAAUUGCAAUUCUGGUUAUAAACGGUUAACCAUUUUAAACGAUUAAAGGCAGAGAGCAACAUAUUUCCUAAACCUUUAACCGUUUAUGAAAAACGGAAAACACAAAAGAUGGGAAGGUUACUGGAACUUAACGGUGAACCGUUUAUUUUAAACGGUUAACCGAUUAACACCAGAGAGCGACAUAAUGCCUAAAGCUCUAACCGUUUAUGAAAAAUGGAAAUCACCAAGAAUGGAAAGGCUACUGGAACUUAACGGUGAACCGUUUAUUUUAAACGGGUAACCGAUAAUGUCCAGAAUUGAAGGUUGUCCUCCUCUGGCACUGAUUAACGAAAAAUGAUAAGGCUAAAUUAUUUUGCAGGUUACUGGAGACAAACGGCGAACUGUUUAUUUCAAACGGUUAACCGAUAAUAUCCAGAAACGUUACUUCACGCAAGUUCUUAACCGUUUAGCGUAAACGGAUAACAAAUGCUCAUCUUGCAGGUCUCUGGUAGUUAACGGCUAAAGGUUAAUUACAAACGGCAAACCGUUUAUUUGAAAUCUAGCCCAACGGUAACUUUGACCAACCGAAACGGUUAACCGUUUAGGGUUAACGGCGAACCAUUUUCUGUCCGACAGUUUGUAACGGCUAGAUUUUCAGCUCCAGAUAUAAAUAAGCUCAUUCAAAUUCAAAGAAGGUUGAUCACAACACGACCAUUUUGAGCUAAUAUUCGAGAAUGCAAUCUUCAUAGAGCUUAGAACACAUUAUUGCUUCAUCUAUUCACAUAUUAAGCAUCAUUGUGUAAUCUUAUAUAUUGUGAGAGGUAAAACAGUUUGUAAUCUUUUACUUUGAGUGAUUGUAAGUGUUGGGAUACACUUGGGUUAAGAGAUUGGGGAUAAUCUCUUGUUGUAAAGGUCCAUUGACACCUUGGAAGUCAAGUGUAAGCAUUUGAAGCCUUGGAGGCUUGCUUAGUGGAAUCCUCAAGCCCGGAAAGCUUGGAGGCGUGGACGUAGGCGAGGUUGGCCGAACCACGUAAAAAUCUCGGUGUUUGAAUCCCUCUUCCCUUAUCUUUUUAUAUUGUGAUCAUCUUAAUUGUUAUUGCUUUGAAUUUGAUUUAUAAUUGCAUUAAGAUUUUCUUUAAUAAAUUGAAUAAUUUUUUAGAAUCCCAAUUCACCCCCCCUCUUGGGUUGCAUACUUGUAUUUCAUAUUUUCCACAUAUACCGGUAUAGUCUCUGACUUUUCUUUUACACUGCUAUCAUCUUCAUCUCUCGUUUGCAGUUGAUCUUCUAUAAAGAUAACAUCUCUGCUGAUGAUGAUCUUGUGGGCAGUGGGGUCCCACAGACGAUACCCUUUUACUCCAUCAGCAUAUCCCAAGAAGAUACAUCUUCUAGAUUUUGGAUCCAGUUUUGUUCUUUCUUGGGCAUUGUACAUCACGUACACAGGACAUCCAAAUGCAUGUAGGUAGGAAUAAUCAGCUGGCUUUCCAGUCCACAUCUCCAUCGCUGUCUUCAGCCCAAUAGCUGUAGAUGGCGACCGAUUUACUAUAUAACAAACAGUUUUGGCUGCUUCUGCCCAAAAUGAAUUGGGUAGACCAGCAGUCCUCAACAUAGCUCUUAUUCUUUCUGUAAGAGUUCUGUUCAUCCGCUCCGCCACUCCGUUUUGUUGAGGAGUGUAUGCUACAGUGAACUGUCUCUGAAUACAUUCUUGCUUACAGAAAGCAAGAAACUCGCCGUCUGUAUACUCUCCACCAUUAUCCGUCCUCAAUUACUUGAUCUUUUUACCAGAUUCAAGUUCCACCCGCGCUUUGUAUUCUUUAAACACUGGAAAUACAUUUGACUUUUUUUUAAUUGGAUACACCCAACAUCUUCUGGAAUAAUCAUCAAUGAAAGUCACCAUGUACUUUGCACCUCCCAUGGAUAUAUCCGGUGAUUCCCAAACAUCAGAAUGAAUCAAGUUUAGAAUGCAUUUACUUCUAGCAAUAGAUCUACUAAAUUUUAAUUUAUGCUGCUUACUUGUAACACAAUGCUCGCAAAAUGGUAAACUUACCGAUUUGAGCCCCGGAAGCAAUUUUCGCUCAGAGAGAAUCUUCAAGCCUUGUUCUGACAUGUGGCCAAGUUUGAGAUGCCACAUCAUCGUUGACUCUUCUCCAUUUGAUGCGACACACGCAUCAGCCUCCUGUAGUGUUUCUCCUUUAAGCAUGAAUAGAUUAGCACUGAUCUUUUCUGCAUUCAUCAAUACAAGCGCGCCUUUAACGAUCUUCAUAAUUCCAUUCUCCACAUGAGUUUUGUACCCAUGACUAUCCAUUUGUCCCAAAGACAAAAGAUUUUUCUUCAGGCCGUUGACAUGGCGUACCUCCCCAAUUGUGCGAAUUGUACCAUCAAACAUUUUUAUUUUGAUAGUACCAAUACCAGCGAUCUCCAAGGCAUGAUCAUUACCUAUAUAUACAGAUCCUCCUGAGAUAGGUUCAUAUGUGUGGAACCAUUCUCUCCGAGAGGUCAUGUGCCAGGUAGCUCCUGAGUCUAUAAGCCAGACAUCAGAUAGUCGUUUUCUGCCUUUUGAAACAAUUGUUGCCUCGCUGUAAAGAAUUUCGCCAUCAUCCGAGGUACUUGCUAUACACCCUUGAGCAUUUGAUGACUCAGGUUUUUUGCCCUCUUUUCUCUUCUGGUUACUCCAACACUCUUUCUUGACGUGCCCUUUCUUGCCACAGUUGUAGCAUUUAACAUUCUUCUUACUUCUGGAUUUUGAUCUACCAUGAUUUUGACUCCCACUAGGGCCACGUUCCGUUGAUCUCCCUCUCGUCACCGAUAGCGCCUCCGUUUGCUGUGAACUUACUUGUCUGUUUUCCUUAUUUUUUCGCCUGCUCUCCUCAUUUAAUACGGAGGCUGCAACAUCGUCAAAAACUAGACUGUCCACUGGAUUAUUGUUCGUCAGGUUGAUGAUGAGUUGAUCAUACGAAUCUGGUAGACUUUGAAGUAGAAGCUCUGCACGUUCAUUUUCCUCUAUAUUAUGACCCAACGUUGUGAGUUGUGAAAAUAGAGUCUUCAAGGUGUUGAUGUGGUCGGUCACCAUUGUAGAUUCCGCCAUUCGAAGAGUAUAAAGUUUCCUCUUCAAGAAAAUUUUGUUGUGUAGUGACUUGGCCUCGUACAAUUUUGUGAGAGUAUCCCAAAUUUCCUUCGUUGUGUUUUUCUCUGCCACACUGGAUAAUACUCCGUCUGCAAGUGCCAAGUGUAGAUCAGAAAUGGCGUUGCCGUCUACCUCGUUCCACUUGUCAUCAGUUAUCUCCAUGGGCCUUUCUCCAAUUGCUGCCAAGCAAUUAUUUUUCCUCAAUACAGCUUUCAUCUUCAUUUUCAACAAUGAAAAAUUAUUUCCGUUAAACUUCUCAAUUUCAUACUUUGCCACCAUUUUGUUGAUAAAUACCGCACACAAGCUAGUGUACCACCUUGAAUAGUUGUGAGUAUGUGUGAGAAUGCACACCAGGAAAGUUCCCAGGAAAGACUGGAGGGGUCACAAUGGUCCCACUUAAAACCCAGACUCAUUAAGCUCUUAUCGCCUUUGUGAUAGAACUUUCCUAGACAUGUACAAAACCACACAGUUGCUAUUACUCACACCACUAUUCUCUGCUUUGCAUCACAAAAUUCUUGGAUCGCUUCCACCGUUUCUUGUGAAUAGUACCGUAUACGUGAACAUUACCGUUUACGUGAAUAGUACCCCUUACGUGAACAGUACCCGACUCCAAAAAUACAACCAAUAGCUCUGAUACCACUGUUAGGAAAUUGGUAGGUGAAGCAGACACGCAGCUAGAAUAAAAUUGAAAGAAAAAUAAAGAACAAGUACAAAAAAUGGACACCAGAAAUUACGUGGUUCGACUUUUAGCCUACAUCCACGGGCGAAGACAGAAGGAAAUAUUUUACUAGUGAAAAGGAGUUACAAGUAUUGUAGUAUUUUAGCUCACUUCCCAAAAUCCCAAUACACCCAAACUCUCAGAACACUAAUCACUCAAGAGUUUAUUAAACUCUUAAUACUCUCAACACUAAAAGAAAGCAAUAUUUCUCUCUCGAUGGAAUUGGAUACAAGCUCUAGAUUGAGAGCUUGUAUUUAUAGGCAAAAAUUUGCCUCAAAUGUCAAACAAGUGGCCAUAAACUUCAAGCCAUACAUCUUAAAAAUUUCAAACUUUGAAUUUUUAGCUUUGAAUUUUUCUUUUCUUUUACCAAACAUUACGGCAUCUAGAAUUUCAAAGCCAAGUGCCAACCAUUCUUGUUUAUUCAAAGCUUCUAGAUGCAGCCAAUUUUGACAAUUACACAUAUAUAAGAGUAUGUCGUCAGGUCCAUACUAGUAUUUUUACACAAGCGGUCACCUCAAUUGCUUUAGGAGCAAGAUGAGAUGAGACAAGUAGAAUAAUAAAACAAUAUUUUUGUGUGAGAGCCAAAUAAAAAGCGUUAUUCUACAAGUUUUUUUGCCUUGACUAGAAUCAAGAGGUCUCACACGAUUUUCAUUAUAGACUGACUAUGAUAUACCCCACCAUCAUGGAGACUUCAUUGAAGCCAGAUGUGAGAUCUUUACUUUUUACGCUAGAAGAGAGCGUUCAUUCUAAAAGAGUGACUAGACUAAGAUCUAUAGUCCUGGAAUGGAAAAUUUAUCGUAACGAGUGUAUCAUACCAUGCGUGCUUGGUAAUCAAAAUGGAAAAUGAAAGAAUCUUCAAUCUUUCUAAUUGUGUAAGUUCCAUAUAACUUUUUAUAAGUCAAUCCUGGUAUCAUCUUCUUCUCUUCUUCGUGAAGAUUAAAAUUAAGAACAUUGAACAAUCCAUAAAAAGGGCAUUUAUACUGUGAUUAGAUAAGGAUUUCCGCUUGCGAUUUCUUCUGACCAUUAACAUGAUCCAGUACUCGAUUACUCCGCUGCUGAAUUCAAUAAGAAAAAUAUUUCUAGAAUUUUCAUUUUUCCUUCAGACCAUGUAAGAAGCAUACGAACAGGAUGAUCCGGAGUCAAAAGGUGAACGAGGUGACGGCUCGUCCGUUAGUACUAUUAAUGUAUAAGGUAAUAUGGGAAUUACUAAUAAUUAAUCGACUAGCUGAUUUGUUAGUUAUGAUUAUCAAUGACGGUCUAUUUCCUGCCCAUAUUUUACCAUGCUGUUGAAUGGUCCCCUUAAAAUAAUCCAGAUCAGUCAUUUGCAUAAAAAUAUAUCAUGAGCGGUUAGGUGGAGGAUGCUGAUUUGUUAGAAAAUAAUUGUUUUCAACUCUUGCGAUUGUCUGCACCCUGCACUCUUGUUCCAAAACCAAUACAAAACUGUAGCAAUCUUAAGAGGAUUUGUGGAACAAAAGAUGGCCAAGAUUGGAGGUUCUCUGCUUGUUCCUUGUGUUCAAGAGUUGGUCAAGAAUCCUAUGUUAGUUGUCCCUCCUAGAUACAUUUGUCCGGACGAAGAUUCACCACUCAAUUCUGAUGAUACUUUGAUUUCACAGAUACCAGUUAUUGACAUGCAGAGCUUGCUUUCUGAAGAAUCAAUGGAUUCUGAGUUAGCCAAGCUCGACUUCGCUUGCAAAGAAUGGGGUUUUUUCCAGGUAAAAUGCUUUAGCAGAGUUAGAAAGAUUUUUCAUGCUUGUCUGUGAUUUAAGAAUCAUGAAAUCUGCAAAACUCUCAGUCACAAAAUAUCUAUUUUUGAAACCCAGUUUCCAUUGAUUUAGCAUGUCAUGAUUUCAAAUUUUCCCAUCUAGUCCUUUUGCUGCUUUCAGUGCUUCUACGACUGCAGCUUGUGAAAUGUCAAGGAAGUUGUCUCUUGUUUUAUUGUACAAUUUAUGAGGCGAUAUGAGAAGAAAACACUCACCAUUUAUUUCUGAAACCCAGAUUCCAUUGAUAUAUUUGUUUUUGACUUGCUUUAUUACUUUACCUUUCCAUAUAGCCAUAGAUUUGUUAGUAUAAUUUGUAUUAAAAGAUGCCCAUGACAAAGUUCACCUAUUUUGUCUCAAUAGCUUUUGGUAGCUUAUGAGAAAUAUGCUUCUGUCAAUAUGUGAUUAAAGAUAUAGUAAAUUGUAUAAGACUCCCGCAGAUUAUUAGCUGUUCUAGAAUAUUCAAAUUUCUCCAAAACUAUGAGUAAAAAACACUUGUAAAAAUCAAUCAUUGAUUAGAUUUAUAAACAAAAUAAAAUUGGUGUUUAAUGCAACAGCAAUGUUCUCAGUUGAAAUGUAACAAAUGCUUUUAGCCAUCUUUGAUAGCAAAUCUUGUCUCUAAAUUAGUCAAAUAAGUUGCAAUCUGUCUUCAUAAAACGCCUGGACGAUUGUGAACCUAGUGGCACGAUUAUCAAAUCUUAGCUGCUGUUCAUUCCUGCGUAAUUUCAGCUGGUAAACCAUGGAGUAAGCUCAGCAUUUCUAGAGAAAGUGAAGAAAGAGGUUAAGGGCUUCUUCAAUCUCAGCAUGGAAGAAAAGAAAAAAUAUUGGCAGCAUCCAGGAGAUGUAGAAGGAUUUGGACAAGCCUUUGUUGUAUCUGAGGAACAAAAGCUUGAUUGGGCUGACAUUUUCUCCAUGAUCACUCUUCCAGUUCAUCUGAGGAAGCCACACUUAUUUCCUAAGCUCCCUCCUUCCCUCAGGUUCUCUCUUUUUGUGGUUGAUAUGGAUUUGCAAACAAAAAGGGAAAAUUAAACCUUCUAUGAUUCUAUCUAAUGUUUUACCUUCUUUUUUCUUGUAGAGACACCUUGGAAGUUUACUCGAUGGAGUUAAAAUCUCUGGCCAUGAACCUGAUAUCGAAAAUGGGAAAAGUUUUAAAUAUCAAAGAUGAAGAAUUGAGAGAAUUCUUUGACAAUGGUUUCCAAUCAAUGAGGAUGAACUAUUACCCUCCAUGUCCUCAGCCAGAAAAGGUUAUGGGCCUCACCCCUCAUUCUGAUGGCUCUGCUCUUACCAUUCUGCUACAAAUCAAUGAAGUAGAAGGUCUCCAGAUCAAGAACGAUGGAAAAUGGAUUCCUAUCACACCGCUGCCAAAUGCUUUCAUUGUCAACAUCGGAGACACAUUGGAGGUAAUAAUUAUGAUUACUUUCCUUGGCAUUUUUAUGUCCCUUCUCAUGUGCUCUAAUAUUUUUAACAUUGCAGAUUAUGACCAAUGGGACAUACCGUAGCAUUGAACAUCGUGCAAUUGUGAACUCUAUACAAGAAAGACUUUCCAUUGCCACAUUUUACACAAAGAGAUUAGAUGGUGAAAUAUAUCCAGCAUCCAGUUUGAUAUCUGAAAAAACUCCUGCAUUGUUUCGAAGAGUGACAGUUGAAGAAUACUUUAGGAGCCGGUUUGCUCGUGAGCUUAGGGGAAAAUCUCACCUGGAUGACCUGAGAAUUCAACAUGGUCGAGGCUAGUACAAUUAUUUUGGAUAAUUGCAGAUUUGUGCCAGGAAUUUUCUGAUGAUAAUUGUGCUUAUUUUGGAUCAGUUUCUUUCAUUUUUGGAAUAGAAUUUUUGCAGGCUUGUCAUGUUUUUAUCAGAUUUCAAGAACUAUUUCACUUGCUUUCGGAGUUAAAGAUGAUUCAAAUAUGAUAUUAAAUACUUAAGCAUGCCAUUCUAACGCUUGCUUGUCCAAUUACAUCCUUAUCAACAAUAUAUUUUGUUACAAUGUCACUGAAGUUGAAUAGAUAACAACAUGCUUGGGUUAUAUGUUGUCAUUUGGCUUAACCAUCCGUCACAUUAAGCAGAUUGUUGUGAUAAUGUGUUUUACAACCUUCCCCAGUAGCAUGAAUGUUGUUAAAAUAAUUGUAACAAAUUUUAUAUUGCUUGUAGCAACAUUGUUCUCCAUAGCACACAUUGCGUGAGUACAUAAGUUGUAACUUGUUACCAAUAAUAAUAAUAAAAAAUAAUAAUAAUAGUAAUAAUAAUUAUCAAUAACUAAAAAUGAGACGGAUGUUACUUUCAUAAGUGGAACUUGGAUUCACAAGCUAAAUAUGAGGUUUUAAUUGGUUGUUAUCAGAAAAAAAUAUAAAGAUAAUUAAUGCCUAAACAUAAACAGCUAUAAUUGUAUAAAUGACUAAUCGAUUACAAUUCGAAUCCACUAUUUUCUUAAUAGUGCGCAGUCAAUUCCAACACAGCACCAGAUUGCAGCGUGUUAGAAAAAAUUUUAGGUAAUCAUAUAUAUGUUUUAAUCAAUAAUGAUAAUAUGUUUACCCAUAUAUAAGAUUUGAAUAGAUAAAAAGUAAUACUCGAGAACCACCAAAGUCCUUUUAACUGCAGACACGCAAUGGUGGAUUACUCGCACAAGUCAAGAGCAAAAUACCAAGUUGUGAAAGAAAAAUAAAAAGGGGAAAACAAAACAAAACGCAGUAUUGAAAAUACCUUCGCCUUUUGGGUUGAUGACAAGGUGGGAACCACAAAUAAUUAAUUGGCUGAUGGUUUGUCAUCGUUAUCCAUAGAGGAUAGUUUUGACCUGCGAAUAUUUUAUUUUGCAUUCGAAACAUGUGCAAAAAAUUAAAAUUACUUCAUGAAUGGUUAGGUGGAGGAUGCUGAUUAAUUACUUGGAAAAAGAUUCCUUUUUACUUUUGUGAUUGUCAGCACUCAGUCUUGUUCCAAAACCAAUACAAAGCUGCAGCAAUCUUGAAAGGAUUUGAGGAACAAAAGAUGGCCCAGAUUGGAAGUUCUCUCCUUGUGCCUUGUGUUCAAGAGUUGGUCAAGAAUCCGGCGUUAGUUGUCCCCGACAGAUACAUACGUCCAGAUCAAGAUUCACCCCUCAUUUCUGAUGAUAUUUUGAUUUCACAGAUACCAGUUAUUGACAUGCAAAGCUUACUUUCUAAAGAAUCAAUGGAUUCUGAGUUAGCCAAGCUCGACUUCGCAUGCAAAGAAUGGGGUUUUUUCCAGGUAUAAUGCUUUAGCAAAGUUAGAAAAUUGUUUCGCCAGAACAUGCUUGUUUGUGAUCAAGAAUCGAGAAAUAUGCAAAUUGUCAAUCAAAUAGGCAAAAUUAAAAUUCAUAUUUAUUUCUUAAACCCACGUAUCAUUGAUGUUAGCAGAUCAUGGUUUCACUUUCCAGUGUUGUCUGUGGCUUAGGACUGCAGCUUGUGAAAAGAAGAACUUGUCUCUGGUUUAUUUAUUAUUGACUUUCUAUAUUGCUUUACCUUUUCUCCCUCCAGGCAUGGUUUAAUUAGCUAUUUCAUUCCUAAAUGUCAAACAGGCAAUAUGUAUUAAAAAGAUUGUCUUGAGAAAUUUCACCUCCUCUGCCUCAAUAGCUUUUGGUACCUUAUGAGAAAUAUGCUUCUGUCAAAAUUUUAAAAGAUAUACUAUAGUAAAUUGUGUAAGACCUCUUAGAAAAUGUACUCAUUUCUGUAGUCAAUGUUGCAAAUUUACUUUAAUUUAAAGACAAUUAGAAGUAACAUUGAGAUUAUUUGCUGUUGUAUGAUUUUUCAAAUUCUAGGUGUGAACAAACCACAAGAACUUUAUGCUCAUUAUAGUUAUUCUAGAAUAACCGAAAUUUCUCCGAUAGAAUGAGUAGAAAACACCUGUGGAAACUAAUUGUUGAGAAGAUUUAAAUGUAACAAAUGCUUUUAGCCAUCUUUAAUGGUAAAUCUUAUCUCUAAAUCAGUCAGAUAAGUUGCAAUCUGUCUUAAUAAAACACCUGGACUAUUGUGCGCUUAGUGGCACGAUUAUUAAAUCUUUGCUGCAUUUCGUUCCUGUAUUUUUUUCAGCUGGUAAAUCAUGGAAUGAGCACAGCAUUUCUAGAGAAAUUAAAGAAAGAGGUUGAGGGAUUCUUCAAUCUCAGCAUGGAAGAAAAGAAAAAAUAUUGGCAGCGUCCAGGAGAUAUGGAAGGAUUUGGACAAGCCUUUGUUGUAUCGGAGGAACAAAAGCUUGAUUGGGCUGACCUUUUCUCCAUGAUGACUCUUCCAGUUCAUCUGAGGAAACCACAUUUAUUUCCUAAGCUCCCUCCUUCCCUCAGGUUCUCUCUCUCUCUCUCUCUGUGUCAAUGUCAUUUUGAUUUGCAAACAAAUAAAGGAUAGUGCAUCUUCUUUUCCUGUAGAGAGACCUUGGAAGUUUACUCAAUGGAAUUAAAAACCCUAGCCGAGAACCUAAUAUCGAAAAUGGGAGAAGUGUUAAAUAUCAAAGAUGAAGAAAUGAUAGAAUUCUUUGAAAAUGGACUGCAAGGAAUGAGGAUGAAUUAUUACCCUCCAUGUCCUCAGCCCGAGAAGGUUAUGGGCCUGUCGCCGCAUUCUGAUGCAGCUGCACUUACCAUUCUGCUACAACUUAAUGAAGUGGAGGGUCUCCAGGUAAAGAAGGAUGGAAAGUGGAUUCCUGUUACCC